This 66137-nucleotide long non-coding RNA is filed under the name Vitis vinifera (wine grape). RNAcentral's name for it is "long non-coding RNA (VVIN_LNC006341)". The record is from RNAcentral. Lineage: Eukaryota; Viridiplantae; Streptophyta; Magnoliopsida; Vitales; Vitaceae.
UGAAUUCCACGUGCAACCAAAUUAGCAUAAAGAUGACCAGUGAAAGUCUGGCGGGUGUCUUCACCUCUAAAACUCAAGAACACAUGAUAAUUAUAACCAUCACAAUUAGAAGUGGAAGACGACGCUUUUAAGGUGCUACUAGAAGCCAUUUCUGGACUGGAUCUGGCAAAUUACAAGGAGGCUAAGAACGGAAAGAAAGGGUCUUUGGUUGCUAAAUGGCUGUUCUUCUCCUCUGGCAAGCAAUUUUCCUUUUCUUUUUUUUUUUUUUGUGUUGGACGCAAGAGGGAAGAAUGAAAGUUCAUGGAAGAAAGAGAAAUACUGUUUGAGUCAACAAGCUAAAUUGUCCUGUUCCAAUUGUGGGGCUGCCACUAUUGCUCAGUUUCUCAGAUUCAUCGCGGCUUCACAUGAACCAACAGCUGGCCUCAAUAAUGAGACUUGCGAGUCUGUUGAUAUCCAUUUUAGGUUUUUCACUCUAUCAUUUUACUUUUAUUUCCCUUCCUUUGCCAUUCAAAAAUCAAAGCUCAUUCUUUUACAUCUAUGCCAUGUCCAUGUUUCUUCCAUUUUUCCAUUUUGAUUUAUUCUUUUAAUUUUUAUUGGAUUUUUUUUACCCAAUGAAGCUGUGAGACUCCUACGGUCCGUUUAGCAGGAUUUCUAAAAACCACUUUUAGUAUAAAAGAUAAUCAUAAAGAAAAAUUACGUAUCAAGAAAACACUUUUAAAUAUUUGAAAAAUUAUUUAUAAUAUUUUUUGGUGAAUCAUUUUGCCAAUAAUUCUUUUAAAAAGAUUUUGAAAGAAAAUAUUUUAAUUAAAAACAUUUAAAAUAUAAUCAUUUAAAGUAUAUUUGAUGAUAAUUUUAAGAAGUGUUUUAGGGUGUAUUUGACAAUAAUUUUAAAAAGUGUUUCUACUAUUUAUAAUACUUUAAAAAAUUUAUUUUUAAAAUAUUAAAAACACUUCUUAAAAUUACUAUCAAACGCUCUGUUAAUAUUUCUAAUACUUAAAAUAUUUUAUCAUUCAAGUAUUAUAAAUAUUAGAAACACUUUCUAAAAUCACUUUCAAACGAAUUCUUAAUAUACAAUGUGUGAUAAUAUUUCUAUUUGAACUGUUUUUAAUAAAAACGAUUUCUUUAAAAAUGUUUUUGUGAGAAUCAUCAAUUAGAGACUUCUCCCAAAAGCAUUAUGAGUGAUUUUUCAAUUUUUUAAAAGUGUUGUUUUAAGUGUUCUCUUAUUACUUCUCUAUGAAGCACUAAAAUUAUAGUAGAGUUUAAAUUUUUAUUCAAAAAUACUUUUUAUAUAUAAAGUGUUUUUUAAAAUUACAAUCAAAACCCUUAAUUUAAUUUGUUCAAUUAAUGAAAUUUUGUCAAACUCAAGUGAUUCAAGUUCAAUAAGAUCACCCUAGUUGCCAAAAAAUGAUUAAAUUUGUACAUGAUGAGAAAUGUUAAAUUAAGAGACAGAAAAAACAAAAUUCCUAUUAAAAACAUUAGGAAAUUGUAAAAGGACAAUGUAGCCAUGUGAGUAAAGAGAAUUUUUAUCUGGAUGGAUGGAAUAAAUAAAUAAACACAAUUUCCAUGAAAUCUUUUGGGAGAGGAAAUAUGUUGAAGAAAUUAUCAUUUGUAAAAUUGGUCAUGAAAAAAAGUCUCUCCUUUUUGCUUUAUGCAUUGUUUUUAUUAGGGUUUAAUAAUAUUUCUAAACUUCUUAUUCAAGAAAAUUGAACAAUUUAAUGUUAAACGAAAUUUAUGAAUACAAGUAUUAAAUACUUUUGGCUCCAAGACCGUAACUAAGUAUUUUAAAAAAAUGAAAAGAUGGAGUUCUUUCAUGAAAAGCUAUUGCCUUAAUUUUUUUCUACUCAAGAAUUGUGAUUCCCAACUUUAAUUAUAAAAAAAAAAAAAAAAAAAAAUAUUGAAGUUGCUUUUGAUCUGCCCAAGAAUCCAUGAUUCCCGCGGCAUGCUCAAAUAUUUUUGUGUAGCUUUCAUGAAUGAUGGCACCCAUGUGGUUUUGGGAGGUUCUCAAUAAAUCUGUCUUUGUGCAUGUGAGAGGGCACCCAUGGAGAGUGACAUAUUUAAAAUUCUCUAUUUGAAAAUUAGAUUUGCACAAAUGAAGAGUGGGAAUUGCACCUACAAUAUAACAAUACAUCUACACUAAACAAAGAAAUUCACUACCAAACACGAAAUAUUAUAUAUAUAUAUAUAUAUAUGUCACUUGCUUAUAAUAUAAAUUAAUGUAAUAAUGGUUGAGGUAUGAAAUUAAGUACCUGUAUAUGGAAUCUUAGAAUAGAGUUUAAUUGUAAUCAUAAUUCGAUUAGAUGAUUUCGAUCAUUGAAAGUAAUCAAUUCGGCUUUUGAAUAGGUACUUGUGAAGUAAUAAUGAAAAUGGUUGUGUCUUUCCUCCACGCUUGACCUCCACUUUUCAUCCAUGGACACCAAAUUUUCACCCCUAUACACUUGCAUGUGAUAACAUAUAAAAAAAAUUAAAUUUUAUACAUGGAAUAUCUACGAGCCAGAUAAUUUAGCAUGAAAGCUUUGUGUUCUAUUAUCUUCAGAAAUUUGUAGAAGAGUAUAUAAUAAUAAUAUAAAAAAUAAUAAUAAACAUCCUAUAAAUAUAAAAGAAGCAUUAAUUUUUAAAAUCAAGAAAAUAAAAUAAUAUUAAUAUUUGAAUGGUAUUAAUCUAUGGAUAUGUUGAUUGAAGUAAUUCUUAUUAUUGUGUUUAAUUCUAUAUAUUUUCUUUAUCAUUUUUGUUAUAUCUCCUUAAUUAUUCUUAUUGUUUCCAUACAUCUUCUUGAUUAUUUUUUUACAUCUCUUUAAUUAUUUUCAUUAUAUCAUUCAACCAUUUGGUGUUUUGAUUAUUUUUAUUUUUUUUCAUUUUAUGUUUAUUUCCUUUAAUAAUGUAUAAUUGUUAAGGAAUAAGAUUAAAAAAUAAAUAAAGUCUAUUCAAUAAUAUUUUUAAAAGGUACUUUUAAUAUAAAAGAAAUUAAGUAUUUAAUAAAAAUUAAAAAAAUUAGUUUGUAUAAAUAAAUGGUUAAAAACAUCUUAUUUUUCUUUAAAAAUAUAUUUUAUACUAGAAGUGAUUCUCUAAUAUAUUCAUAUUAAAUUUAAAAGUGAAACUAGCCUAUUAUACAAUAAGUUGGAGGAUCCCACCUAUUUCUUGGAGCAAUGGUUAAAACCUCAGAGUUGGAGGAUUAUUUUCAAAGUGUCAACGGAAAAAUCCAAGCUCCAUGGACAAUGGUUUCUCAAAAAAUUAAGGUUGAGGGUAUUAAGGGCCUUCCUCAAAGAGGACUAUGGGCUGUACCACCAAACUCCUCUUUUUGUUAUUAACAUAUGAUAAAAUUAAUUUUCAGACUAAUUUAUAUUUUAUUUUAUUGGAUGAUAAAUAUGUUGGAAAUUAUACUUUUAUAUAAUUAAAAUGGUGCUACAAUAAUUAAAAAAUCUAUUUUUUUCUAUAUUUAUUCAUUACAAGAAAAUAGGAUUUAAUAAUUGGCCAACAAGCCUCAUUAAAGAUUUAAUUAACAUUUUCUACAAAUUUUAUUAUUUUUUAUAUAAAUUUUUUACGUAAAAAAUAGUGUUUUGAAGAUUGAAUCAAGUAUUGAAUAAGAAAAAAUUUUAAUGACUUCAUUAGCCUUUCAUUUAAUAAUUCUAUUUUACUUGGACAACUUUGUCUUUUUCUUUACUUUCUUUUUUUUUUUUAUAAAAAAAAUCUAGUUUGAUAUUGAUUAACAAUUGAUUCACUUAACAUUUAUUCUAAGGUCUUGUUCUAAAAAAUGAUAUCAGAAGAUAAAUUUAUAAAUAUAAAAGUUGAAAUUCUUAACAAAAUUAUAUAUAUAUAUAUUAUUUUCAAUUAUCUCCCAUUUGUUGGAUGAUAAUGGGAUUGCUUUGUUGGUAUAGUGGGUUUGGUUGGAGUUAUUGAUUUUGGUGCUAUCUUUUUAUUUUUAAUUUUCCUAUUUGUUGGAUGAUGGUGGGAUUGGUUUGUUGAUAUAGUGGGUUUGAUCGGAGUCAUUGAUUUUAGUGCUAUUUUUUUAUUUCAAUUAUCACAGUGUGUUCACUAAAAUAGUGAUUUAAUUUUGGUCUAUAUUUUCAAUUAUUUCCCUUUUGUUGGAUGAUGGUGGGAUUGGUUUGAUAGUCAAGAUUCCACAAUUCUCUUACAAGUUACAAUUUCAUUCAUUUAAUUUUGGAAAAUGUUAAGUUAUUGUAAUAGUACCUAUCAUGUGAUAGAUCUGAACCGUUAAAUAUAUAUAUGGUAAAAUACAAGUUUCAAUAAAGGUAUAAAUAAAUUAACUAAGAUAUAAAUAUACAAUUAAAUAGAGUUAGACAAUAAACAAAAGAUCAAAAAUUAUAUAUGUAAUACCAUUUAAUUGAUAAUGUAUUUUUGAUAAAUAACAUAAAAAAAAAUACUAUUCAAGUGAUGUAACCAAACACUUUAAUUUUUCUUUACAUUUCUCAUUUGGAUUUUACUUGAUAUUCCCAUAUCCUUUUUUUCUUAAAACAACUUUUUUUUGCUUCUUGCUUAUUAGUAUUUGGUGUUUUUCCAAGGAAGAUAAGAUCUUUAAUAUUUUUCAUUUUUUCUUCAAUCAAACAAUUGUUACACCCAAAGUGGUUAAAAGUGUGACUGCAUGGGACUAUGCAUCUUAAUAUUUAUAUCAAAUUAAAAUCCUUCUGUUAGAAUUAUAUUUUUGUUAACAAGGAGUAUUAUGAAAUGCUUACCACCAAAAUAAAAGUAGAAAUGUUAAAAGUUAAAAUGUUACGUAAAUAUGGGGAUUUUGGCACUAAGAGUUUGUUAUAUUGAUAAGAUAAAGAGAUGCAUGACAUCAAUAACAAGGAGAAAAAUUGGGAAAGUUGAAUUUAGGUUGAUUUUUUCUAUACAAUAUUAAUUUUUAACCCACAUAACCAAAAAUGGAAAAUCGGAGGAAAGAAAAUAAAUGUUAAAUAUAGAUUAAAUUAAUUGACAAAUCAUAACAAAUACCUAAUAAAAUAUAGUAGAAAAGGAGUGUGUUUGAAAAUGAUUUUAAAAAACGUUUAUAAUAUUUCUAAUAUUUGAAUGAUAAAAAUUUUCAAGUUUUAAAAGUAAUACAAAUAUUUCCUAAAUUAGAACUCUUGAAGUUGGAAACACUUUCUUAUCUUUCAUGUGUACAAGUGAUCCUCGCAAGCACAUAAAUAAAAUAUGGUAUAAAAAAAUUAAGUUUUGUGAAAAAAGUAAAGAAUAUGGUCAUUUGGGUUUUAUGUAAUUUUGACCAAUCGAAACAAUCGAAGCCAUCAAAAGUAGAAAACAAAUAGAGCCAAGUCGUUAAUUUUAACCAGCAGCAUAUAACCAUAAGAUCAGAUUCAUGAUCUGAGUAAAUGUUCCGUCAGACUCUGGAGCCAUGUUUGGAACCAACCCUUGAAAGAUUUCAUUAUCUGCCAGCACCAAGUCUCUAGCUAGGUGAUGCAGUGAUACGGUGCAGUAGAUUCUUCCGGCGGUAGAUCGACUGCAAUGGAGCGAAAAGCUUGCUUUAUCUUAAGCAAAGCCCCAUUGCAAUCAUUGAAAAGGCAAUUAACCAUUUCUCUAAUAUAUCCUCACCAUACCAAGCAGAAGAUGCCUGCACAAUCAUAGUGCAAUUGGUACAUGAAGCAAAAAAGAAUUUAAUCUGUCAAAAAAAAAAGAAAGAAAAGAAAAAUCCGAACUGAAUACGAAAUCAAAAAAAUCAAAAUAAGAACCUAUAUAGAAAAUGAAAAACAACUGAAAGAUUCAACAGUUCUAUGAAACAUAGACAAGCUAACAACAAUCAUUCACUUGUAAGCCAUGGCAAACACUGAAAACUAUAGUGAAAUAGAAAAUUAAACCUAAAUAAUAGUAGUAAUAAUAAUAACAAUAAGAAAAACCUACUGUUUGGUUGACAAGAAAAAUUGGAACCAACCAGUGCAAGCAAGCAUAUAGCGAUGCUCUUCUUAGAUUCAAUUCGGUUAAAUAUCAAGUAGUUGGCUUAAAGUUCCACUCCAUAAGACCUUUCACUCUCUCUCUCUUACUCUAUUUUCUCCCCCCGUCUUCACUCCUAAUCAUCCUAAACCAACUGAGCUCCUCCACAACCCAUUGAAAGACACCAAGUUGCACCAGCAACAGAAAUCAUAGCUGCACCAAAACUGUUGAACAACUCAAGAAGCGUGAUAGCAGUUAGGAGUUUGUUUUAGUUUGUUAUUAGGUUAAACUUGUUGAGAUAUUAGGAAUGCUUUUCUUGUAUCAUUCUUUCCUUAUAUCAUUCUUUCCUUGUAUCAUUCUUUCCCAUUCUUAGAAUGGUGAUUAUCCUCUAUAUAUACUCUGUACAUGAACGAAUAAAAGAAUGAAUGAGAUAAAUAAAUAAAAAACACACACCAUUCAUCAAUUUGAAGAUGGUAUCAGAGCCAUGAAACUGAAAUCUUGGAUAUUUUGUCUGUAAGGCCAACCAUUGCUUUCAUAUACAGAUUUGCCAUCCAGAUUCCGAUCUCCGUUACCCAAUUUUCUGAUUCGUUGAUCUUCUGUCCUUCGCUUUUGAUUUCAGAUUUAUUAUUAUUCAUGUGGGACCAUAGUCAUUGGAAUAUCGGAGUGAAAAAAAAAAGAAAGGAAAGAAAAAAAAAAGGAAAAAAAAAUUGAGUGAAAAAAAUACUAUUGUUUUUCAAUCUGAAGGUACGUUUAAUCCAUGAAUUAUUUUGACUGAAUCAAACUAUGACGUUUGGUCACAACUCAUGGAGAUGCAUAUUGCUGAAAGGGAAAAACUUUCCUACAUUCGAGGUAAAACAAAUCCACCAAAAGAGUCAGAAGAUGGAUAUGAAAAAUGGUAUGUUGAGAAUCAAAAGGUGAAGAUAUGGUUGUUAAUGUGCAUGAGUCUAGAAAUUAUGAAGUGUUACUUACGCUUACCCACUGCUCAAGAAAUUUAGAGUGCAUUAUCAAAGGCCUUCUAUGAUGGAAGUGAUGAAUUACAAGUUUUCACUUUGAAUAAAAAAGUCUUCACUGCCAAACAAAGCGGCAGGUCUCUUUCUGAAUAUUAUGGAGAGUUAACUGAGAUUUUUUGCGAAUUGGAUCAUCAGGAUAAGGUAGUCAUGAAAGAUCCUGAUGACAUUGCAGCAUACCAGAAAUCCAUUGAAUGACAACGAGUGCACAUCUUUCUUGCUGGAUUGGAUGGUGACCUUGAGCAAGUUCGAGGAGAGAUUCUACGCAAAGAUCCUCAUCCCUAUUUGGAAUAAUGAUAUGCACUGAUUUGACGAGAGGCAGUGCAUCAUGCUAGUAUGAAAGUAGAAUCUGAAAACCCUGACACCUCAGCUAUGGUAGUCCGACAACGAUCAACCCAGAAUUGGUAGGACCAAUCCAAGACCAAUCAUCCUAAGAUAGGCCCUAAUAUUGAUAAGUUAACCUUCAAAUGCACUCACUACAAUAAGACUGGUCAUACUAAGAGUCGUUGCUUUGAAAUUGUGGGAUAUCCAGAUUGGUGAGAUCAUAAUCAUGAUCAAUAGAAGAAGGAUUUCAAGAAAACCUCGACUACAGUUGUUGUCGAAAUAAAAAGAGAGGCUAAUGCUGUUGAGAAAGUCUUUGCAUUGGUAGCUGCUAUAGAUUAUGGUGGUAAGGUUUUAAAUACUUCCACACUUGUUAUUAAUAGUGCAUGGAUAAUUGAUUCUGGUGCUACAGAUCAUAUGACUUUUGAUUCUAGACAGGUCUCACCCCUUAGACCUUCCUCACAAAAAAUCGUUUCCAUAACCAAUGGUAACACAACCUCAGUCAUUGGGGAAGGAUCCUUAACUCUUACUGAUACUUUGAAUUUGGAUUUUGUUUUAAUUAUUCCACCUUUAGAUUACAAUAUUUUUUCAGUUUCUCAAAUCACUACAACCUUAUCUUGUAUUGUCAUUUUUUGGCCUGAAUUUUGUGUUUUUAAGGACAUCCAAACAAGACAGACCAUUGGUUAUGGUAUUAAAUGGGGAAAACUCUAUUACUUGGAUUUGCAGUCAAAGGAUUCCAAUAAGUUGCGACAAACCUUGAUGGUAGAUGGAUCUGAGGGGAAUGAGAAAAAGUCUGAAAUUUGGUUGUGACAUCGACGUUUGGGACAUGCUUCCUUUGGUUAUUUAAAAAAAUUGUUUCCUAGUUUGUUUGCAAGGAGUGAUAUUUUUGGUUUCCGUUGUGAUAUUUGUGAAUUGGAUAAAAGCCAUCGUACUUCGUUUCUGUUAAUUUUGAAUAAAAGUCUGCUUCCUUUUAUGGUUAUACAUUAUGAUGUUUGGGGCCCAUCCAAAGUCCCAACUUUGAGUGGCUUGCGUUGGUUUGUUAUUUUUAUUGAUGAUUGUACCAGAAUGACCUGAUUAUACUUGAUGAAGACCAAAGAUGAAGUGAACUUGUUGUUUCAAAAUUUCCGUAAAAUAAUUGAAACUCAGAACAAUGCAAAGGUUCGGGUUCUGCGUAGCGAUAAUGGUGGAGAAUAUCAGAUUUUUUAUUUUCAAAAGUAUUUGGAAGGACAUCGCAUCAUUCAUCAGACUACUUGUUCCAAUACAUCCUAGAAAAAUGGAGUCCCUAAACGGAAAAAUCAGCACUUGUUAGAGGUUGUUCAUGUUUCCUUGAUAGCAACAAAAAUGACGAUAUCUAAUUGGGGAGAAGCAAUCACAUCUGUCGCAUACUUGAUUAAUUGAGUAUCUUCCAGCUCAAUUGACUUCCAAACAUCUUUCCAAACUCUUACUAAUGUCGUAGUUACCCCAACUGUCCCAAAUCUACCUCCUCGUGUUUUUGGUUGCGUGGCAUUUGUGCAUCUACACAAACACCAACACACCAAGUUAACUUCCUGUGCAUUGCAAUGUGUGUUUGUUGGAUAUGCAUUACACAAAAAGUGAUAUCGAUGUUACCAUCCUCCAACUCGACGAAUGUUUAUUACAAUGGAUGUGGUGUUUAAUGAAGAUUCGAUGUAUUUUUCAUUUGAGUCUGAACUUCAAGGGGAGUACCAUAAAGAAAUUUAGACUCUCGAUUAUGAUUAUCAUAUCUCGGAAGGGGAUGAAUCCGAAAGAUCUGAACUAGUGAACAAAGAAGCGAGUGAAUUGGAUAUGAGUGGUACAACUCUAGAACCAAGUAGUAAUGAAGCUCCCGUGUCAGGAUGGAGAUUUCCAAGCCAUAAAUGUAAGUAGCUGAGCGUCAUAAAUGUUUUCAUUCAAAGUAAAGCUUUUAAUCGCUCUGACUUGCUUUGAAUGGCCAAUACUUGAUAACCUUUUGGUCUCAGUGGAUUCUUAUUGUUAGAUCCACUGAUGUUCAUUAGUUAUCUCCUACGAGCCAUUAUAUUGCAAGUCGAGGAGAUGACCUAUACCAAUAAAAGAGCAUUUAUGAGGUUCAGCUACCCUUUUUGUAAGUUUUCAAGGACUAAAACUCAGUUGUUAAACUCAUACCGGUUCGGGAAGUAAGCAUCACCUUAGUUACUUCCCCAACUCGAGGUGAAAAGUCCUAAAAUCUCCAUUUUUACACAGUGAGUUAAGCAUGGCUAUCCAAAGCUUUGAGAAAUUUCUUUUUCCAUCUUUUAACCUAUUUUCAUGUUAGUUUAGUUUACAACACCUUCAUCUUUUUAUGUUUUCAUCUUAACCUAAUUUUUAUUAAGAAAAGUUCACUCCAUCCUCUGAACUUCACCAGUUAAAGUAAAAACCCUUCCCAGUGUUCGAUCCUAGAGCCACUAUGCUAUAGUAGCUUUGCUACUUUAGUGUAAGGACCUUAGGUAUAAAUUUUGUUGAUACCCUUACAUGCCAAGCUACCAAGAGUCGGGUUAUCAAAUGGCGCCGUUGCCGGGGACAGUUGCCGGGGAAGGUGCUACUUCACUGUGAAUACAUUAGCCGGAGGUAACUUGUGAGACUUCUCAUGAGUGAGGUGAAUUCUAUCUCAUUUUUCAUUUACUAACUUUUUAUUUUAGUUUUAGAACAUUUUUAACUUAGUUUAGAUAAGUUUCUUUUAGCUUUUAACUUUCAUUUUUAGUUUAUUUUUCAUACUCUGUUUUUCCUUCCGCAUGCUCUGUUUUUUUUUUCUUUUUCUUUGUUUUAUUUAUUUGUUUUGUUCCAGCUGAAUCCGUGCAUGCCCUAUUGGAUUAGAGACCAAGAGGGAAGGUUAGUGCGGAUAGAGACUCCACGAGCUACUGAAUUAGAGAUUAUUUUGGAAGUCAUGGAGAAUCAGCCAGAGGAUCAACAUUCACAACACGGGCAGGAGAAUGAUCCGAACUUGUAUAGGUCCAUGAGGGACAGGAUGCACCCUCCGAGGAUGAGUGCACUAUCUUGCAUCAUUCCUCCUACAGAGCAAUUGAUUAUCAGGCCACACAUCGUGCCUCUGCUUCCUACUUUCCAUGGGAUGGAAAGUGAAAAUCCAUAUGCGCACAUAAAGGAAUUCGAAGAUGUGUGCAAUACUUUUCAAGAAGGGGGAACAACUAUUGAGCUUAUGAGGUUGAAGCUCUUUCCAUUCACAUUAAAGGACAAAGCCAAGAUAUGGCUCAAUUCCUUGAGACCGAGAAGCAUAAGAACAUGGACAGAACUUCAAGCUGAUUUUUUGAAGAAGUUUUUCCCUACUCAUAGAACAAAUGGAUUGAAGAGACAAAUCUCCAACUUCUCAGCACGUGAGAAUGAAAAAUUUUAUGAAUGCUGGGAGAGGUAUAUGGAGGCCAUCAAUGCAUGUCCUCACCACGACUUUGAUACAUGGCUUUUGGUGAGCUAUUUUUAUGAUGGCAUGUCAUCUUCAAUGAAGCAGAUAUUGGAGACAAUGUGUGGGGGUGAUUUCAUGAGCAGAACCCUGAGAGCUAUGGAUUUCCUAAGUUAUGUCUCAGAGGUUUCCCGNNNNNNNNNNNNNNNNNNNNNNNNNNNNNNNNNNNNNNNNNNNNNNNNNNNNNNNNNNNNNNNNNNNNNNNNNNNNNNNNNNNNNNNNNNNNNNNNNNNNNNNNNNNNNNNNNNNNNCCAUAUCAGUCACCAGCCCAAUUCAAGCCAACAAAGUCAAGGUCAAUCCUCAGUUGAGCAAGCACUCAUAAGCCUUAGCAAGGUUAUGGGAGACUUUGUGAGUGAGCAAAAAUCCAUCAACUCUCAACUAAAUCAGAAGAUUGACAACGUAGAGAGUACAUUGAACAAGAAGAUAGAUGGGAUGCAUAAUGAGUUGUCUAAGAAAAUUGACAACAUCCAAUAUUCCAUCUCAAGGCUCACAAAUUUGAACACUGUCAAUGAGAAAGGGAAGUUUCCCUCUUAGCCUCACCAAAAUCCUAAGGGGAUACAUGAAGUGGAAUCCAAAGAUGAGGAUUCUUCAAAGGUGAGGGACGUGCAAGCUAUUAUCACUUUGAGAAGUGGUAAGGAAGUGCAUCAGCCGAAGCAUGAUCAGAGGAAAGCCAAAGAAGACAAGGCUGAUAGAAAAGAAGAAAAGAAGAAAGAACAAAAGGGAAAGGAAAUUCAGAUGAAAGAAAGCAUCAUUCCUAGCAUGGAUGAGGAACUUCAAAUUCUUUUAAAGGAAGGCAUGAUGAAGAAACACAUGCCUCCUCCAUUUCCUCAAGCCUUGCGUGGGAAGAAACCGAUCAAGAAUGCUUCUGAGAUUCUUGAUGUGCUAAGACAAGUGAAGGUGAAUAUUCCUUUACUUGAUAUGAUCAAGCAACUACCCACAUAUGCAAAGUUUUUGAAGGACUUGUGCACUGUGAAAAGAGGACUCAAUGUUACAAAGCAAGCCUUCCUACUUGAGAAAGUGAGUGCUAUAAUCCAAUGCAAGUCUCCAAUCAAAUACAAAGAUCCGGGGUGUCCUACAAUCUCAGUCAAUAGUGGAGGAACCCAAGUGGAGAAGGCAUUGCUUGAUUUGGGGGCAAGUGUUAACUUGCUUCCAUACUUUGUAUACAAGGAGCUGGGGUUGGGAGAACUCAAGCCAACAUCGAUCACCCUAUCCUUAGCUGAUUGAUCAAUGAAAAUCCCCAGGGGGGUAAUAGAAGAUGUAUUGGUUCAAGUUGACAAAUUCUACUAUCCAGUAGAUUUUGUGGUGCUUGAUACGAAUCCUAUUGUCAAAAGGAUCAACUAUGUUCCAAUCAUCCUUGGAAGACCAUUCCUUGCAACAUCCAAUGCAAUCAUCAAUUGUAGGAAUGGGGUCAUGCAACUCACUUUUGGGAAUAUGACAUUGGAACUCAACAUCUUCCAUCUAUGUCAAAAGCCCAUCCAUCCUGAAGAAGAUGAGGGCCCAGAAGAAGUGUGUAUGAUAGAUACCCUGGUGGAGGAGCAUUGUAAUCAGAGUAUGCUUGAUCAGUUUGAAGAGAAUCCAGAUGAAAGCCAUGAAGAUCUUGAUGAUGGGUUAGUUGAACCCAUGAGAAUGAAUGUCGUUAUGUCAAACUGGAGACAAAAGCCAGUGAUCCUCCCUUUGUUCAAGGAUGAGGAAGAGAUAAAAGAAGCUAAGGAUGCAAUCCUUAAGCUUGAAUUGAAGACCCUUCCUGCCGAGUUGAGUAUGCUUACUUGGAGGAACGCAAUAAAGCCCCGGUGGUAAUUUCUUCUUCUUUAACCGUUUCACAAGAGGACAAUCUUCUAAGAAUCCUUAGAAAGCAUAAGAAGGCCAUCGAAUGGCAAAUUUCUGAUUUGAAGGGGAUAAGCCCAUUGAUUUGCAAGCACCAUAUUUAUAUGGAGGAGGGAGCUAAGCCAACUCGUCAGCCACAGAGGAGAUUGAAUCCUCAUAUGCAAGAGGUAGUAAGGGCUGAAUUGUUGAAGCUUCUUCAAGCGCGCAUCAUUUACCCCAUUUCAGAUAGCACUUGGGUGAGUCCAACCCAAGUUGUUCCAAAGAAGUCCGGGAUAACCGUAGUCAAUGGGGAAAAUGGAGAUGAAGUGUCCACACGCCUCACAACUGGUUGGAGGGUGUGCAUUGACUACAGGAAGCUGAAUACAGUAACGAGAAAGGAUCACUUCCCUUUACCUUUCAUGGAUCAAGUCCUUGAGAGAGUAUCUGGGCAUCCUUUUUAUUGCUUCUUGGAUGGGUAUUCCGGGUAUUUUCAAAUAGAGAUUGAUGUGGAGGACCAGGAGAAGACUACCUUCACUUGUCCAUUCGGCACCUAUGCUUAUAGGCGGAUACCUUUUGGAUUAUGCAACGCUUCUGCUACCUUCCAAAGAUGCAUGCUUAGCAUCUUUAGUGACAUGGUUGAAUGAAUCAUGGAAGUCUUCAUGGAUGACAUAACUGUGUAUGGGACUUCUUUUGAGGAUUGUUUGUCACAUCUUGAAGAUGUUUUGAAAAGAUGCAUAGAGAAAGACCUCGUACUCAAUUGGGAGAAGUGCCAUUUUAUGGUAAAUCAAGGUAUUGUUCUUAGGCACGUAAUCUCAAAGAAGGGUAUAGAGGUAGAUAGAGCUAAGGUGGAACUAAUUGUGAAGUUGCCACCUCCCACCAAUGUAAAAGGAAUAAGGCAAUUCCUUGGGCAUGUCGGGUUCUAUAGGAGGUUUAUAAAGGAUUUUCCAAGAUUGCCAAACCUCUUUGUGAAUUAUUGGUGAAGGAUGCCAAGUUUGAGUGGGAUGAUAAAUGUCAAAGGAGUUUUGAGCUUCUUAAGCAAUUCUUGACAUCAGCGCCCAUUGUGAGAGCACCAAAUUGGGAGUUGCCAUUUGAAGUGAUGUGUGACUCAAGUGAUUAUGCCAUUGGGGCUGUUUUGGGACAAAGAGAAGAUGGUAAACCUUAUGUGAUCUACUAUGCAAGCAAGUCUUUGAAUGAUGCUCAAAGGAAUUACACCACCACUGAGAAGGAAUUACUUGCUGUGGUGUAUGCUUUGGAUAAGUUCAGAGCUUAUUUGAUAGGGUCUUCCAUUAUGGUAUUCACGGAUCAUUCAGCUUUGAAGUAUUUGCUAACCAAGCAAGAUGCCAAGGCUAGGUUGAUUAGGUGGAUACUUUUGCUUCAAGAGUUCAACCUCCAGAUCAGAGAUAAGAAAGGUGUUGAGAAUGUGGUAGCUGACCACUUGUCAAGGCUCAACAUCGCUCAUGACACCCAUGGACUUCCCAUAAAUGAUGAUUUCCCUGAGGAAUCCUUGAUGCUUGUGGAGGAAGUGCCAUGGUUUGCACACAUUGCCAAUUACUUGGUCACGGGAGAAAUACCAAGUGAAUGGAGCUCUAAGGACAAGAAGAAUUUCUUUGCCAAGGUCCAUGCAUAUUAUUGGGAGGAGCCUUUUCUCUUCAAGUAUUGUGCGGACCAAAUUAUAAGGAAGUGUGUGCCUGAACAAGAGAAGCAUGGGAUCCUAUCUCAUUGCCAUGGGAAUGCAUGUGGAGGCCACUUUGCCUCUCAAAAGACGGCAAUGAGAGUUCUUCAAUCGGGCUUUUGGUGGCCCUCACUUUUUAAGGAUGCCCAUGAGGUAAGUAAAGGAUGUGAUAAGUGCCAAAGACUAGGCAAGAUUUCAAGGAGAAACAUGAUGCCUUUGAACCCCAUCUUGAUAGUGGAUCUUUUUUAUGUUUGGGGCAUAGACUUCAUGGGACCUUUCCCUAUGUCUUUUGGCCACUCCUACAUCUUGGUAGGAGUUGAUUAUGUUUCAAAGUGGGUUGAAGCUAUACCCUGUAGAACCAAUUAUCACAAAGUGGUUCUCAAGUUCCUAAAAGAAAACAUCUUCUCGAGGUUUAGAGUGCCUAAAGCAAUCAUCAGUGAUGGAGGCACUCACUUUUGCAACAAGCCCUUUGAAGCUCUUUUGGCCAAGUACGGAAUUAAGCAUAAGGUAGCUACACCUUAUCAUCCUCAGACAAGUGGCCAAGUAGAGCUAGCCAACCGGGAAAUUAAGAACAUCUUGAUGAAGGUGGUGAACACCAAUAGGAAAGAUUGGUCUGUUAAGCUCCUUGAUUCCCUAUGGGCGUAUAGGACGGCUUAUAAGACUAUCCUUGGGAUGUCACCGUACCGUCUUGUUUAUGGCAAAGCUUGCCAUCUUCCCGUUGAGAUUGAGUUCAAGGCAUGGUGGGCCAUUAAAAAGCUCAACAUGGAUUUAACUAAGGCUGGGCUAAAGAGGAGUUUGGAUUUGAAUGAGCUCGAGGAAUUGAGAAAUGAUGCCUAUCUCAACUCAAAAAUAGCUAAGGAAAAGCUAAAGAGAUGGCAUGAUCAGUUGGUGACCAAGAAAGAAUUUUUCAAGGGACAAAGAGUCUUGCUAUAUGACUCUAAGCUUCACCUAUUUUCGGGAAAGCUCAAAUCAAGGUGGGUAGGGCCUUUUGUCAUCCACCAAGUACACUCACAUGGAGUAAUUGAGUUACUCAACUCAAAAAGUGCAAAGACCUUCAAGGUAAAUGGGCAAAGACUCAAGCCCUACAUCGAGCCAUUUUCCCGUGACAAGGAGGUACUCAUCCUCCAUGACCCAUCACAUCCUUGAGAAAGUGUGGUAAGUUGAUGAGCUUAGCAUGAAAAGCUAAGUGCUCAUCUCUUUUUGUUUUAAUUUUAGUAUUACAUUCUUGUUUACUUUGCAUUUUUAAUACUUUUGCACAUAUGUUGUUUAGGUUUCUUAGUUUUGAUUUUGAUUUUUUAUGUUUUUAAUGGAGCUUUGAUGUCCAAUAGCAGGUACGAAAGCUCAUAAGCUCACAAAUGUGGAGAGAAAGGUGAAAUAGGGGAGAAAUAUAUCUAAGUCCAAGCUUAAAAGCCCAUUUCGCAACUCAAAAAGUGAGUUGCGAAAAUUUGGCAAGGUGAAUUUCACCUUGCGAAAUGCACAUUUUGGCAAGAUGCAAUUUACAACCUCUCGGGAUUGCACUUUCGCAAGGAGUAACCAGUGCGAAAAUUUUCGCAAGGAGUAACCAGUGCGAAAAUUUUCGCAAGUCAUUUUUCACCUUGCGAAAUUGUUUUCAAAGCAAAUAUCAAAAUGAAACCUCUCGGGACUGGUUUUUAAGGGGAGUAGCUAAUGCGAAAAUUUGGCAAGGUGAAUUUUCACCUUGCGAAAUUUUUUCUUCAUACUUACCAAGGAUUUGAUUCUUUUUAAAUUCAUUUUCAAACUUCAAUUUUGUAGUUUUAACACUCCUGAUUAGCUUUUGAGUAUAGUAUGGAUAACUAUCAUCUCCCCCCAACCUAAGUCUUUCUUUAAGCUUAACAAAAUUAACCAUCUCUUGAUAGGCUAGGAACGCACCUCUUAUUCACAAUUCUUUUCACUUACUAAACUUAACCAAUUCACCCAUGUAACAAGCAGAGGAUCGGUGACUCCCAACCAAUAAAGGCUUAGGGCACCAGGCUUUAAAGGCUUUCGCCACCCCUUCGGACCAUGCUUAGGUUUCAAGGCAAGCAAAGAAGUUUAUGCUAUUAUUAUUAUUUUUUUUUCUUUUUCUAUUUUUACAAAGACUCAUUGGUCUUUAUGAGGUGUCCCAACACUAUUAAAGAGAGGUUAAAGGUGUCAAAUUAUGAUUUCUCAAGCUUAGAGGGUGAGAUAGUUUCACAUCUUAUAACUGGAAUCUAAUGUAUGUGUGUGCGAAUAGCUUAAGUGGAAGAGAUAAGUUUGCAUGCAAUGGGAGUUUCAACAAUUCAUCAGCUUUNNNNNNNNNNNNNNNNNNNNNNNNNNNNNNNNNNNNNNNNNNNNNNNNNNNNNNNNNNNNNNNNNNNNNNNNNNNNNNNNNNNNNNNNNNNNNNNNNNNNNNNNNNNNNNNNNNNNNNNNNNNNNNNNNNNNNNNNNNNNNNNNNNNNNNNNNNNNNNNNNNNNNNNNNNNNNNNNNNNNNNNNNNNNNNNNNNNNNNNNNNNNNNNNNNNNNNNNNNNNNNNNNNNNNNNNNNNNNNNNNNNNNNNNNNNNNNNNNNNNNNNNNNNNNNNNNNNNNNNNNNNNNNNNNNNNNNNNNNNNNNNNNNNNNNNNNNNNNNNNNNNNNNNNNNNNNNNNNNNNNNNNNNNNNNNNNNNNNNNNNNNNNNNNNNNNNNNNNNNNNNNNNNNNNNNNNNNNNNNNNNNNNNNNNNNNNNNNNNNNNNNNNNNNNNNNNNNNNNNNNNNNNNNNNNNNNNNNNNNNNNNNNNNNNNNNNNNNNNNNNNNNNNNNNNNNNNNNNNNNNNNNNNNNNNNNNNNNNNNNNNNNNNNNNNNNNNNNNNNNNNNNNNNNNNNNNNNNNNNNNNNNNNNNNNNNNNNNNNNNNNNNNNNNNNNNNNNNNNNNNNNNNNNNNNNNNNNNNNNNNNNNNNNNNNNNNNNNNNNNNNNNNNNNNNNNNNNNNNNNNNNNNNNNNNNNNNNNNNNNNNNNNNNNNNNNNNNNNNNNNNNNNNNNNNNNNNNNNNNNNNNNNNNNNNNNNNNNNNNNNNNNNNNNNNNNNNNNNNNNNNNNNNNNNNNNNNNNNNGAAUUUAAAUGAAGCUGAUAGCAUGUACCCCAAAAAGAAGAUGAACUAUUUAGCUCAUCCUCCACUCACACACCCUACUUCAUGCUGAAUUCCCCCUGGAUCCCAAACAAAAUUGGCAUCCUUUCCCAUUUGGUCCAAGGGAAUUCGUUUCUCUUCUCUUCCCUGGAGAAGUGGAUGCUUUAAAGGGUUCAGGUAACCCUUUAUCAUCUUGAACCUUAUGAUUUUCAAUGGAAGGUUGGUCCAUAGAGUUGUCAUAGCAAUCCCCUACCAAAGUGUCGAUCUUUAAUACUUUCCUUAAUCUUUUUGCAUUGGUUCCUUGAAGGUUAUGGUGGGGUUGAGGAGGAAGCUUCCUUUUCCCCCUUGCUAUGUCGAGAUUGGUGAGUUUCUCAAUGGAGUCUUGAACUUUUUCUAUCCUUAGUGAUAGAUCAUUAUAAACCCCCUCCAUUCUUACAUUUAUUGAACUCUCCAAAUUAUCAAUCUUUUCAUUAAGAUGAGAGUUGAUCUUUUGUUGUUCACCUACAAAGUCCUCCAUGACUUUGCUUAUCUUCAAAAUGGCUUGCUCCAAUGAAGAUGUACUCAUUGAUGGUUGAGGUUGAGGUUGGGUUGUAAGGUUUUGAUGGUUAUUCCAACUUGAGGUGUAGGAGCUUUGGUAACCGUACAUGUCUCUCACAAUUGGAAUGGUAGGGCACUCCCCUACCGUAUGCUCAUAUGAAUCAUCUCCAUUCAAAGCAUACUUACUACCCCAUUGGCUUUGUUGAACUUGCCUUUUCCCUAAUUCAAUCCGAUCCCUCAUGGAUAGGUAUGCGAAUUUGUCCUUCUCAUAAUCAUAAUGAGAGCUUUGAUCUUCAUGUGGAAUUUCCAUUUCUAAAAAAAAUGAUAUUCAACUAAGGCUCUUUUCUUCAACUUGUACCAGGGUUCCCUCUUGGUCUCGAAUCCAACAAGGAAUGCACAAAUUGAAAUUAAAACAAAAAUAAAAGAAAAGAGAAUAAAAAAAAAUUAACUAAAUAAAAACUAAACUAAAAAAAAUUAUAAGAAAACUCACCAAACUUGUGAUGAAGAUCACAAGUUACCCUUAAUGGUUGCUUCACUGUGCUUGUGGCACUUUCCCCGGCAACGGCGCCAUUUGAUUCGACUCAUGGUAGCUUAGCUUUAAAGGAGUAUCAAUAAAAUUUAUACCUUAAAUACUAUUACUAAAGUAGCCAAGCUACUAUAGCAUAGUGGUUCUAGGAUCGUUCACUGGGAAGGGUUUUCGUAAACACUAGUGAUAUUCAAAUUAGGAAAAUAUGUGAUUUUCUUAUGGAUGUUAGCUUUAAAAGAAAGUGUAAAUGUUUUAGAAAGAUUUAAACUAAUCUAAGCUAACAUUAAAGACUAAAAUGAAAGGGUGUAAAAACAAGUUUCUCAAAGAUAGGAUAGCUAUGCUCUGGCUCUUAUGCAAAUUGGAAAUCUCAGGAUAGGCUCCUCGCGUUGGGGUUGCAACUAUGGUGAUGCUUGCUUCCCGAACCGGUAUGGAUUUAGCAAAUCAAGUUUUAAUCCUUUAAAAUGGCAAAACAGAUGGUAGUGAAUUUCAUCAAUGGUUAUUCACCUUAGACUUCUUUUGAAUGACUCGUAAGAGAUAACUAAUGGUCUAAAGCUAAAAGUUUACCAAAUAUUGGCAACUCAAAGUCAUUCCAGGUGAUAAACUCACCUUUCAAUGGCCAUUGAAAUUGGUUCUAACGGAUUAAUGCAAAACUUGGAAUUGAAAACCUCACCUUCCAAUAGCUCGUAGGAGAUAACUAAUGGAUAGAAAUCCAAAAGCUUAUCAAGUAUUGGCCGUUGGAAGUUGUCCAAAGGAAAUAAAAACCAAACUUUGCAUUAAUGAACCUUUAAUGAAAAACGACUACCUUACCUUCCAGGUGCGAGAAAUUUCCAUGGGAUUGCAUCCAAGUCAUCACAUAACAUCCAUACUUCGAGAAACUAAAAGUUUUAGCCAAUCAUCCUCUGAGGAAAAGCCCUCAGAGGCUGUUUGGCUACUAAGAAAAUAGAAAUGGGGAAGAACAGGAGAAGAGAGAAAAACAGAGCAAGGCUCCGUCUCUGUAUAUCCGUCUAUAUAUGUGUAUAUUUUACAAUGGAUGCACGGGAAUAUAAAUAGAGAAGUUUUUUCCAACCUUCCUAGCUAAGAAAUCUUAUGAUUGGUGGAUUACAAGGAGAAGAAUGGAAAUUUAUACAAAAAUAUCUAAAAGAAAAUAUCUCGCGUGGAGUCGGCAAAACAGAGGAAAAUUCGCACCACGCAUGGGCUGUGCGAAUUUUGAAGGUGUUGUGCGAGUGUUGUGCAAGUUUCGCACAAGCUUCGCACAAGAUGAAGGUGUUGUGCGAGUGUUGUGCGAGUUUCGCACAAGCUGAAGGUGUUGUGCGAAUUUCGCACAAGCUGAAGGUGUUGUGCGAAUUUCGCACAAGCUGAAGGUGUUGUGCGAAUUUCGCACAAGCCUGGAGCAGUUGUCUUCCAAAGGCCAUAUCUUCCUCAUUUCAGCUCCAAAUUGUAUACGGUUUAAAGCGUUGGAUUCUUGACUUCCUGAGCUUUGAAAUGGUAUAUAGCAUGUAGAAAAUGGACUUUGGAAAGUGCUCCAAAAGUGCAAAGGAAGACUGCAGCUGCUGUCAUCUAUUUUCUUCACUUUCUCUUUGCUUCUCUUUGCUUCUUUCCUUUGCUUGGCUUGUCUUAAUGAUCCAAAAAGCUGUCAAAACACUAAAACUAGCCACAAAUAUGAUUAGAAGUCAUUGCUAGGUCCUUAACAUGCCAAUUGGAAUAAAGAUGGAGAAUUACUACACAAAAGUGCUUAAAAGAUAUUGAAUUAAAGGUAUAAAAUAGCACUUUUUGGGUAGUAAUCAACUCCUCAGUUCAUCCCCGUACUUAGACAAAUUUUCAAAAAAAAUUUCAUGGCCAAAAACCCUUUUUAAAGCCUUCUCAACUUCAUUUUUCAUGCAUAAAAUACUAUUCCCCUUGCAUUUCCUCUCUAGGCCGCGUGCUUCAUUGUUUCAAGGUGAGUAAUUUUUCAUUUUUCUCCAUUUUUGGCUCCUUAAAUUGCUUGUUUAUGUCAUUUCUAUGUUUUAGGAACCAUAAACAUGCAUUUUCAUCCAUUAAAACCAUUUCAAAAAUCCAUUUUUUCAAAUCAAAGACCCAUAUGGCCGGCCACCAUUUUUGCAAAAAUCUCUAUCUUGCAAUGUGUUUUAGGCUCCCAAACUUACUCCAUUGCGUUUAGAAUCAUGUUUCCAUUAAAACCAUACCCUUUUUCUGAAUUUUAAACCGUUAAAAAUGAAAACUCAAAUUCAAAGUAAGCAUUGGAGAAGAAGAUGAAUAGUGCAUGUGAAUAGUGCUGCGUGAAUAGUGCCCGUUGCCAAAUUUAGCAACCACUAUUCAUGCCUUGCAAAUUUUGCACUGGUUACCAUUUCAACUGUAUUUUUGACACUUUACCCCUGGGAUGCUCUAUUUUUCGUGUUUUUCAGUCUUAUUUCAGUAUUUAUACCAUGGCACGGACACGGGGGACAUCCUCUUCAGCUAGUCAGCGUGGGGCCCACUCACAGAAAGGUGGUCAUUCUACACCAUAUCAGCCUGCCCAGACCCCAGUUCCCUCUACUCAGCACGGGUUCGAGACCAGACGAUCAUCUGGGUCUUCCAUGGCACCAAUGCCACCCCCUGUGAGCAGUCCUCCACCUAAGAGGACUAGGAUUUCAGGACUAGGCGAGUCCUCCAGAGCCCCUCCAUCACCUCCAGCAUCUACUAUCCCAGGCUCUUCACACCUAGCAGAGGUCCUCAAGCGGCCUAUGAUAGCAGGUCCACCCCUACCAGGCAACACGGAUAUCAGAGAUAGGCCAUUUCACGAUGAGAUCUGUAUGGAGCAUGAGACUCUCCGCCUAUUACCAGAGCUAGAGGAGUCAUACCGCCUUCUGCAGAGGUACCACAUCGAGCCAUUUAUGACUCCUAGGUCCUUCUAUUACCCUAGGGUAGUCUUAGAUUUCUACCAGACUAUGACUACUAGAGGCGUUCAGGACCCCAUAGCCAUUCAUUUUUUGAUUGAUGGCCAGCAUGGUAUUUUAGAGGCCCGAGAUAUAGCCGCCGCUAUGCAUUUUCCGCCUAUCCCUGAGGACCUUGGUUCCUUCCGGCAUUGGUCUCAGUAUUCAGAGCCCGACAUGGUGUCUACCUUAUCAGGAGGUAGAGUCACUGGUAGGACCAUUUUGAAGAGGGAGCUUCCUCCACGGAUGUUACUUAUCGAUUUGGUGCUCCGCACCAAUCUUUUUCCACUCCAGCAUGUCGUCCAGAGGAGAGGUGCUAUCCUAGAUGCACUUUACCGCAUCUCUGAGGGAUUCUACUUUGGACCCCACCAUCUAGUCAUGACUGCUCUUACCUAUUUUGAGGAAAAGGUGCAUAGGAAGCGCCUACGCAGAGCUGGUACUAUUCCACUCUUAUUUCCGAGGCUGAUCUCUCAGGUCUUAGAGGAUAUGGGAUACCCUUCUCAGCCCCACCUAGAGCGUCGUCAUCAUUGUCGAGAGCUCUUUACCAGUGAGAGUUGGACCCAUUUCUUAGACCGCUCACCCAUGGACCAGGGUAUCCCUAGACCAUUAGCUCCCGCGCCUCCAGCUUCUCCAGCACCUCCCGAUUCUCCAGCAGCUCCCGAUUCUCCAGCAGCCUCAGCACCUACAGUACAAACAUCACCAGAGCAGGACCCACAUACCACAGAGUCUUCUUCUUCAGUACCUGUUCCAGUGACUUGCAUUACUGAUACUCCCACCCCACCAGUCACUCCUGCUCCAGCCUAUGCUGAGUCUUUAGCCGGGCCAUCCAUCACUGUCUCCGCUAUAGAGUUCAGAGCUCUCAUGUCGUCCUUUCACUCAUUGAGCGCCUCUCAGGCCACCUUAGUCCGUGAGAUGCAGGCCAUCAGACGAUAGAUGGAUACCAUACAGACACAUCAGGCUCAGCAUAUAGCUAUUCAGGCUCAGCAUACAGCUAUCCUGGACCAGCACUCCGCCAUACUCUCUCAGAUCCACCAUCACCUGGGCAUAUCACCUCUUCCACCUCAGGAGCCACAUCCAUGAUUGGAUAUUUCUAUCUCCAUUUUGUAUAUGUUUUUUGUAUAUGAUACAUGUUAUAUCAUUCAUUCCUCAUCUUUUUCGAUAGAAACAUUGGGGACAAUGUUCAUCUCGGUUGGGGGGAGAGUUGAGCAAGUAAGUAUUUCCUAUUUUAGUUAGUUAUUUUGUUGAUUUAGUAGUUUUUGACCUUUUUCAAAAUUUUUUGUUUCAUUCUCUAUGGUUGUUAAAGAUAAUUUCUCAAAAUAAAAUAGGAUAAGUCGAGUUUUAACUUAAUUACUUAAGUCUUAGAGUUUGUUUUAUGCUUUCAAAGUUGAUAAUCUAUUGAAGCCCUCUUUGAUUUCGAACUUAUUUCUUCCAUUUCAAGCUUUACACACACCGUGCACAUUAGAUCCUGGAUAUAUGAUGUAAAACUUUCUCACCCUCUAAGCUUAGGAAAAUUUUGACUUGGUUCAUUACUUAAUCUCUUUUUAAUAGUGCUGGGACACCUCAAAAAGACCAAUGAGUCUUAAAAAAAAAAAAAAAAAAAAAAAAAGCUUCUACUCUUUCCUUGAAACCUAAGCAUGAUCCGAAGGGGUGGCGAAAGCCUUUAAAACCCAAUGCCCUAAACCUUGAUUGGUUGGGAGUCAUCGAUCCUCUGCUUGCUACAUAGGUGAAUUGGUUAAGUUUAGUGAGUAAAAAGAAUUGUGAAUAAGAAGGUGCGUUCCUAGCCUAUUAAUAGUUGGUUAAUUUUGCCAAAGUUCGAGAAAAGCUUAGGUUGGGGGGAGAGGAUAGUUGUACAUACUAUAUCCGGAAGCUAAUCUCAUUAACACUUAGCUCAUUAUGGAAGAGUUUGAUCCGGAACCUUGAGAGUAGAGAUUCUUUUGAUACUUAAUUGCAUAAUCUCCACUCUUUGUACUUUUUGUUUAAGUUUUAGCUUUGACAACUCCUAUUGCAUUUUGAAUCUUCAUAUCUUUAGUUCACCAUGUGAGAUGUGUUUUGAUAUCAGUCAUGCCACUCAAUUAUUUUUUGGAGUGAUUUGCAUGACCUCUUUUAUGUAUAUUAUUAUGUUUGCUUAGUUUUUAUCUCCUCCAUUGCUAAGGGACUAGCAAUGAGUCGGUUGGGGGGUAUGAUUACUACAGAAAAGUGCUAUUUUGUAGACCUAAUUAUAAGGGUUUUAAGCACCUUUGAGUAGUAAUCAUAUUCAUUUAACCUAAUUAAUUCAUUAAGCUCUUUAGUAAUUAGUUCUAACCAUUUUUAGUGGCAAGUUUACAUGUUUUUCAUCAGCUUAUGAACCAAUUCAAGCAUGCCAAUUGAUGGAGGAGCUACUUGGGCGAGUUAAGCAAGGAUUUUGGACGUUUACAGGCUUGAAUUUCAAGUGGAAACAUGAGCACAAGCAAUGGGAACACCAUUUCGCAAGGGGAGGCAAUUCACUUGCCAAAUGACCAAUUUCGCAAGGUGAAUUUCACCUUGCCAAAAUUUCGCAAGGGGAUUUUCCUCAUGGUGCGAAAUUUGGCCAUUUCGCACCAUGAAGAAAACCACCUUGCGAAAUUUCGCAAGGUGGAUUUAGGCACCUUGCGAAAUGCCAAAUUUCGCAAGGUGGCUUUUCACCUUGCGAAAUUUGGACCUUUCAUCUUCCCCCCUUGCGAAAUGCCUUUGAAAUCUCCUGUUUUGAGACGCUGUUGAUGAUAUUCCACUGCCGGUUCUCCAAGAUAUUUUGCUUGACUUUUAGCUUUGUAAAUACCUAUUUUACCCUUGUAAUCAACCAAUGAAAAGGUUGCUUUUGUAAUAACUCUUGUAAUUUAGCUUUUUAUUGUCUUUAAAUAAAGGUGAAGAGCCUCAGACACGAUCAUCUUGUAACCUGUAACUUUAUAAGUUAUAAGAGCACUUUUGUUCAUACGCUUCUUUUAUCUUUUUCUUUCUCAUUUUCUUAGUAGCCAAACAUCCUUGGAGGAUGAAAUCCCCAAGGAUGAGAGGCAAAAACCUUUUAGUUUCUUGAAGUAAUGGAUGCCAUGUGAAGCUCCCAUGUCAGGAUGGAGAUUUCCAAGCCAUAAAUGUAAGUAGCUGAGCGUCAUAAAUGUUUUCAUUCAAAGUAAAGCUUUUAAUCCCUCUGACUUGCUUUGAAUGGCCAAUACUUGAUAACCUUUUGGUCUCAGUGGAUUCUUAUUUUUAGAUCCACUAAUGUUCAUUAGUUAUCUCCUACGAGCCAUUGUAUUGCAAGUCGAGGAGAUGACCUAUACCAAUAAAAGAGCAUUUAUGAGGUUCAGCUACCCUUUUUGUAAGUUUUCAAGGACUAAAACUCAGUUGUUAAACUCAUACCGGUUCGGGAAGUAAGCAUCACCUUAGUUACUUCCCCAACUCGAGGUGAAAAGUCCUAAAAUCUCCAUUUUUACACAGUGAGUUAAGCAUGGCUAUCCAAAGCUUUGAGAAACUUCUUUUUCCAUCUUUUAACCUAUUUUCAUGUUAGUUUAGUUUACAACACCUUCAUCUUUUUAUGUUUUCAUCUUAACCUAAUUUUUAUUAAGAAAAGUUCACUCCAUCCUCCGAACUUCACCAGUUAAAGUAAAAACCCUUCCCAGUGUUCGAUCCUAGAGCCACUAUGCUAUAGUAGCUUUGCUACUUUAGUGUAAGGACCUUAGGUAUAAAUUUUGUUGAUACCCUUACAUGCCAAGCUACUAAGAGUCGGGUUAUCAAUAGGUUACCAAUCUAGGCAACCAAUCCAAUUGUUUUGUGACAAUAAAGCCACAUGUGGCAUUGCUCAUAAUCCAGUACAACAUGAUCGUACAAAGCAUGUCGAGGUGGACAGAUUCUUCAUUAAGGAGAAGUUGGAUGAUAAGAUUGUGGAAUUGCCUAAGAUUCGAUCAGAAGAUCAAUUAGCCGAUAUCCUCACCAAAGUUGUCUCAAGUCAAGUGUUCUCAAAAAUUUUAGAGAAGUUGGGCAUGUGUGACAUCUAUGCACCAACUUGAGGGGGAGUGUUGAGAUAUUAGGAAUGCUUUCCUUGUAUCAUUCUUUCCUUAUAUCAUUCUUUCCUUGUAUCAUUCUUUCCCAUUCUUAUAAUGGUGAUUACCCUCUAUAUAUACUCUGUACAUGAACGAAUAAAAGAAUGAAUGAGAUAAAAAAAAAUACCAUUCAUCAAUUUGAAGAAAACUGUUAUCAGUGUAUAAAUACCAAUGUAAAAGGUUAUUCUUCAAGAUAGAAAAUUGAAAACAAUAUCUUUCUUGAUACAAAGUGUCACUCACCUCCUCGGACCAUCACACAGAACAUAGUUCUACCUAAAAGGAAAUGAAAACUAAAGCUACGUGACAAGGUUCUUCAGUAAUGCUGAAAGUUAGAAAACCCAGUUCAAAGAAAUUUUUGGUGCCAAGCUUUGUAGAAAAGUCUUAGGGUUCUCAUCGAAGGCAAGCAAUGUGAUACCAAUUAUCAAGUUGAUAUAAAACCCGUAAUUCUAAGGGUAGAGAGAGAGGGAGAUAGGGCCAAACUUAGGGAAAAAAACCAAAAUUCAUUGAAAUAAGUUUGUUUUUUGAUUGAUCAUGAGAAUUAAUAAACCUUAGGACAUUUUUAUUGUUAAAUUUUAACACAUAAGAAAAUCUGGAUAUGGAGGCAUACAAGAUUUUACUUAAUUGGCUAAUAAAACCUCAAGGUCCUAUACAAAUUAACAUAAUUCAAUUGUUAUUAAUGUCUUACUUUUGUGAGUGAAUUGUUGAGUUUUGUGAUAUGGGUUUAACUUUUCAUUGACUUAAUUUGAAUAUAUGAAUAGACUACUUAAUUAAUUUGUCUUAUCCCAUAAUAACACAAUUUAUAUUAUGGAACAUAUAAGAAAAAUUGAUAGGAUCAAAUAUAGUUGGAUCUAACACAUUAUGUUAACAUUAAUACUCAUAUUCAAUUGUGUAUAUAAAUUCAAGAAACUAACACAUACACACAUGUAUAUAUAAGGUUUCAAUUUUAUAAAUAUUUGCAUAAUGAGUAUAUUUCAAAUAAUCAAUAAAAGUUUGUAUCACAUAUAAAGUGAUAUAUUAACAAAAUAUAAUUUAUAGUUAAAUCAUGUUUUCAAAGUAGUGAAAUAACAUAUUGACUAGAGAAUUUAAAAUAUGUAUAUACACACCAAAAACAUAAAUACAUUGAUUCUUGUUAACUUGUGAAUUCAAAAAAGUUUUAGUUUAGCAAAAUCAAUACCAAAAUUUUAUCUUGAUCAACUCAUUGUAUUGGGUGGGGACAUAUCUCUACUAAAAUAUUUGAAAGGAAAAUUUUACAUUUGAGAUGUUCUUAUCCUCUUGAAUUUGAUAGUUUGUUCUUAGUUUGAGAUUCUCUUGCCCUUUGAUAAAAUUAAUAGUGUAAGUACAAAUUGAUAAAAGUUUAGUCAAAAAUGAAAAUUUACUUGAAGUGUCUUAUUCACCUUAAUUAAUAAGGAUCCAUGAGUUGACUAAUCGAGUUUUGAGCCUUCAAGUUGUUUGAGCAUUUUAUCUUCAAUUGCUCAACUUUUUCCAUCUAGAUAUCAAUCAAACUUAAGACUAAGGUGUUAGAUUCCAUUAUUUUAUGUACUAAAUUCGUUUAAUAGAAUGCUUGGUGAUUCAAAAGUAAUAACCUUUGAACUUAAGAAUCAGUCCAAACAACAACUUUAGUAAGAAAAUCAAUGUCAUAAUUUGAUUUUUUAACUCUUUUGGAUUACUUAAGAACAUGCACCAACUUCUCAAAAUAUUCUUAAGCAAAAUAUUGGAAAUUGAAAUGUUCUUUCCCUCUUAAUUUGAUUACUGGUUCUUGCUUCAGACUCUUUAUCUCACUUUUAGAUAUUUAGAUUACAAAAUUGAAUCAAUUGUGAGUUCAAAUUAAUUGGCAAGACUUGGAUCAAAAUUAAAAAUUGACUUGAAAUAUUUGACAUACCUCUAUUAGUAAGGAUUUCCAUGGCUUAACUAACUGAGGUUGGCUCUAUCUUUAACCAAUUAGCUAACUCAAUGAUAGAUUUUUAGUGUCUUGGCAUAUCCAACAAAAACUUGAUCAAAUUCAAGGUUAAAGUGCAAUUUCAUGUACCAACUUAUCAAACAAAAUGUUUAAUACUUAAAGUUAACAAUGCAAUUAAGCUUAUCCUAAAAAUGCUUGAAAACAAGUCCUAAUAAUUUGAAUAAAACAAAUAUGGACUUUAGGCCUAUGGAGGCGUAUGGACUUUCAAAAUAGGGUAACUAGGAAAAAAAAAAAAAAGAAAAAAAAAUGAAAAAUGAAAAUCAUUAGAAAGAAUUUCAUCCCUUUAAAUCACUUAGCUAGGCAAUAUAAACUAAUGAGAGAAAGAAAAAGUGGUUUACCAAAAACCAAGAUAAAUGUUUAAUAUCUUCCAUAACGUAUCCAUUGAACAAAUUUGCAAAGGAACUCGAACCACUUGUGCAUAUGGUCAUCUUCAUCAUUUUGGGCUUCUUUGCCCAUCAACAUUAGUAUCUUUUGUAUAUAAGCCAAGAUGGACAGCAGACUUCAUCCAUGGACUAGCAUUUAGAUGAUGGAACAUCAACUAAUCCAAAUUCAUCAUCAUAGAAAUUAGCAUCAAUAUAAACAAAGUGAGGAAUUUAAGAUACUUUAUUAAAUUCCUUAAGUGAUCUUAAAAAAUAAAUGAAGAUAAUUUACCAAUGAUCUAUCAACUCAUUCUUGAGAGAAUUUGUUAAUAAUUUCAAAUACACAGAGUUAUCCAUGCUUAAAAAAAUAUAAAUUAAAAUCAAGGACAAAAAUACAAAAGAUAUUGGAACAAAGAAGUCAUUUUUUUUAAUAGUAUUCUCAUUUUGAUUCACUAUUAGCAUCUUUUCGACAGUUUCCAAAUUAAAAAUAAUAAGGUAAGAAAUUAAAUAAAAUAAAAAUUAUAAACUAAUUAAUUAUGAAAAACCAUCUUAGAAAAUUAAAAUAAAAUCUAAAAUAAGCAAAUCCAAAUUUAGUAAUUUUUAUUUUUCAUUUUAUUUUUAUUAGUUUAUAUUUAUUUUUGUUUUUAUAUAUGUAUAUUAUUAUUAUUUUUAAAGGAAGCAAAGUUGUUGCAAAUUACAAAAUUAUAAUUGUACUACUAUGAAUAAUUCAAUAUAUUAAUGUCACACUUUAUUUUGUCAAUUUUUUUUCAUAUGUUAAAUGAUUAUGUAUCUAUAGAUAAAAUCUUAAGGAUAAUAAAUGUAUUAUAUUAUAAACUAGUUUAUAUCUAAACCUCAUUAAAAGUUGUAAAAGUUUAAGAGCAAUAUGUCUUUAUUUCUUAAAAUAAAUAGGGAAAUAUACCAAGAAUGUAACUAAGGUACACAUAUGCAUGUGAGUAAUUAAAAAUAGGAAUAAUGUAAUUCACAUAUGAAAAAUGUGAUCAAAGUAUAAAAAUACAAAAAUUAUGACCGAUGUAUUAAGGUAUAAAAAAAUUCCGUUAGGAUGUAAAAAAUGUAACUAAGGUUAUAAAAAAUAUGACCAAGGUAAUAAGAUACAAAAAUUAUUAUUAGGGUAUGAGAAAUAUGACUAAGAUAAAAAAAUAAAAAAAUAAAAUGUUAUGAGGAUGCAAAGAAUAUGACCAAGGUACCAAAAAUGCAAUUAAAGUAUAAAGAAUGUAACUAAAAUAUAAAAAAUAUGAUUAAGAUAUGAAAAAUGUGAGUGAGGUAUUAUAAUGUAAAUAAUGUGACUAAUUCAUUUAUAAUUAGGCUCAAACUUGGAUAAAAGUGAGAAAAAUAAAUAUUAAUUCAUGCUUCAACCAACUUGAUUUAUAGUGUAAUUAAGAAAUUUAAGAAACAUAUAAUAAUUUUUAAAAUCUAAAUAUAAAAAUUAAUUCAAAAGUUUUGGUCCACCAAACUCAAUGAUCAUAAUAUUAGGAAUAUUUUCAACUUUUAUUAAUCAAUAUAAGCAUUCCAUUAUUGCCUUCUAUGAUAUAAUUCUUUCCUCUCAAUAACUCUUGCCAAAGUUAAGCUUUGGAUGAUUCCUAACAUUUAUAUAACCUAAAAAAAAAAAAAAACACUCCUCUUAUCCAAGAAUUGAGGAUGUCAAAUUUUCCUAAAAUUUUGGAGCAAUUGAAAGCAAACUAAUUAAAAGCAAAGGCAUGAAAAAGGAGAAAAAAAAAAAAAAAAAAAAAAAAAGAAAUAUUGCCCCUUUAAAUGAUUUGACCAUGUCUAACAGUAUAUUGAACUCCAUGUUCUUCCAAACGCCUAACAAUUUUAAAGUUGUGCAGAUGUUUCUUUCACUAAUUUUGAUACGUCUAAUAGCAAAUAAAAAGAGAGAAGGCAUACCUCACAGGAGGGUCAAGAAAAGUGUGUUGUGUCUAAAACUAGAGAUGUCCUGAUCUUUUGGGGUGUCGGUCCGCUUUUGGGUGAUCCUCUCGCCAUCACGACUUGUCUUGACAUGGAAACCAGUAUUUUCUCUCAAUAACCAUUGUAGGCAUAUAAUGAUCCUCUUUUUGAUUCAAUUCAGUUAAAUAUCAUGCAGAUGGCUUUAAGCUCCACUCCAUCAGACCUUUCACUUUCACUCGUACAUACUAUAUGCUCUCUCCUCCUAGCUCCUCACUCCUUACCAUCCCAAACCAACUGAGCUCUUUCAUAACUUAUCUCUCCAUACCAUCACACAAAACACAAUUCUACCUGAAAGAAAAUGAAAACCAGAGUUAAGUGAGUGGGUUCUUCAAUAAUUCUAAAAGAUAAAAAAAAAAAAAAAAAAAAAAAAAACCCACUUCAAAGAAAUUUUUGGUGCCAAGCUUGGUACAAAACCCAAUUCAAAGACAAGUAAUGUGAUACUAAUUAUCAAGUCCAAACAUAACCCUUAAUUUUAUGGGCAAAGAGUGACAGAUGUCGAUUACCAAGUCCACAUAUAACUCUUAAUUUUAAGGGCAAAGAGAGAGAAAGAAGUUUAAAUGAAAGAAUAUACCAAACUAGAGCAAACCAAUAUGCAAAUAUUCUAAAUUGAGAACAUCAUAGUGAGGGUAGAUUGUAGAAGCAACAUUUCAACUUAGAUGCAUCGUUUUGAAUUUUAACCUGAUGGAGAGAAAAUAAGAACUAGCAUCCUCGUAAGAUAAGAGCUUCCACAAUGCAUCAUCGUGGGAUCCUCCCUAAAAAUUGCCGCGUGGCUCCCUUUCCCUUGCGACACGUGGCACCGCCGACAUUCCACCCGGACAUCUCACAUCCGGAAUUCUUCUCCGCCGAUAUUCCACCCGAAUGUCUCACCGCCACAAUUCUGUCCGGCCAACGUUCUACCUUAUUCGGAUGUUUCACAGCCGCCAUUAUAUCCGGCCAACGUUCCACCUUCUCCGGAUGGGAGAGGAGGACGAUUCAACUUCCCCGGGCAGACAUGUCCGGAUCCUCUGGUGACACUUACCCGGACAGCUUGGCUCGUCAGAUACUCGUGAUUCGUCGGAUCCAUUUCCGCCAACAAUCAAAGAGAUAACUCUGACAAUACUGACGACCAAGUCUCCUGAACUAUCACUCACAUUUAAUGCAAGAUACAUUCGACAAGACAUUCUCAAGUUUUCUUAGGUCUCCUGACACAUCCCCGAUAUUUAAAGUCAUAAAUUGAAGCGGUGGAUGUCGCCUAAAUAUCCUCCUGACAGCUGCAAUCUUGGACCAGAAACGUCAUGAUUGCUUCAUCACCCUAUAAGCCACAAUCAUGACGAUGGGACCCGCUGGCACAACGAGGCGAUAUUUUCUGACUCAUAUAUAAACUCUAAGAAGGCUCUCAGGGAGGUAAGAGAUAAGAAAAAAAAAAACAAUAAGCAAUAUAUCAUUCUGGAGGUCAUAAGCCAAAAAAGAUAAGCAACAAAGGAUAAACAUCCUGCUGAGUGAUAAACAUCCUUGACAAAAAUCACGGAGCCACACUCCCAAAGGAAGACCUCAUUUUCCAUACAUCUUCCAAAAUACCAACUUAAUCAUCGGAGGGUGUGUCCGGACAACCCAUCCAGACAUCUUUUUUGCAGGAGGAAGAAGGAUUCACUGUAACGCGUUGAUCGAGAUCCCGUUGCUGGUGACGACUACUGUAGCAGUGGAACUUUGCCAUCAACAUUGGCGUCAUCUGUGGGAACGUCUUUUCUUCUCAGUAAAUCCUAUACCUUCCAACUGUAAAGAUGACUUCACCCUCAAGGAGUCGUUCUUCCGCCAGAGGAGACGAAGGUUACUUCGAAUGGCGAAACAUCAUGGAAAGACGAUAGCGAGAGAACGAACGGCAGACGCAAAUUCUGCUCCAAGAAACAAGGAAACUCAGGGAAGAAAACAAUGUCUUGAGGAUCCCAGGCUCUUCCCAACAUCAGCACUAUCAGCGGAGGCAGAAUCCCUACCACUACCAGGAAGCUCCAUUCCCCCUCGAGGCGAGCCCAACCCUCGAGGCGCAUCAAGCAUGGCCUGAUGAAACCCCAGUGCACGCUCACCGCGUCCGACGAAAAGAUAGUUCAGGCUCUACUCGAGUCUCGCCCAAGCGACAACGUGAAAAAAGACCCCAAAUAUCUGACGCGAUGCGCGCACGUCUGGGACCUCAAACACCCUGCAGAAACAGGCCUUACACAGCCAUAUCACUGGAGGCACACUCCGAGCCUUCAAGCUCGCCUACUCUAUAGGGACAUGUCGCCAGCCCACUCGUGGCGCGGGUUGGUAAAGAUCCCUCGCAUUCAGCCCCUCCGGGCUCUAUCAGCAGGUGCCUGGACGACAUACUCUCCACGCCUUUCAGCUCUCGUAUCAUUAAAUAUGAGCCCCCACGAGGGUUCAUCGUCCCGAAAUUCUCCACGUAUGAUGGAUCCAGCGAUCCCUUUGAUCACAUAAUGCAUUAUUGGCAGCUCAUGACCCUAGACAUAGGGAAUGAUAUGCUGUUGUGCAAAGUUUUCCUAGCCAGCCUACAAGGCCAGGCUCUUUCGUGGUUUCAUCGACUGCCCGCAAACUCGAUUGAUAAUUUCCGGGAUUUGUCCGAGGUCUUCGUGGGACAGUACUUAUGCUCAGCCAGGCAUAAACACAAUAUCAGCACCUUGCAGAACAUCAAAAUGCAAGAAAAUGAAACUCUGAGAGAGUUCGUGAAGCGUUUCGGACAAGCUGUCCUACAGGUUGAAUCGUACAGCAUGGACGCAGUCCUCUAAAUUUUUAAACGGAGCAUAUGCCCAGGGACCCCCUUCUUCGAGUCCCUCGCCAAAAAACCUCCUACAUCCAUGGACGAAUUAUUCCGGCGUGCGAGUAAAUACUCCAUGCUAGAGGAUGACAUCCGUGCCGCUACACAGCAGGUCUUGGUAGCUGGCCAGGCCGCUAAAAGCGAAGCCACCAGAAGCUUCAGAGCACCCAACCAUCCUGGGUCAUCCAACAGGGGGCAAGAUGAGCGACGUCCGUCAUUCAUUCGAACACCUCUCACCAAGUCGUAUGAAAAACUGCUUCCUAUAAUCCAUGAUCUGCCCGGCUUCAGAUGGCCAAUACCAAUAAGAUUGAACCCCUCAAAAAGGAACCACAACAAAAGAUGUGAUUACCAUAAAGAUCAUGGGCACACAACUAAAACAUGCAUAAACCUCCAUCACAUGGUAGAGGAUCUCCUAAAGGCGGGACACUUGAAGCAGUACGUCCGAACAGCGCCUAAAGGUGAAGGAUCUUCCUAUGAUCGAGGCCCACGCGCCCCAACGGCUCCUAUUAGGGCAGUGAUCAACUACAUAUACGGAGGACCCUUGGAUGACGAGUACAGUUCCAAAAGGAAAAGGCAGAGACUGCUACGAGCAGCCACGGUUCGGGAACACGUGAGCCCCAUCCGGCCGGGAUUAUCCAGUGGGAGCAUCCAUCCUAUAGAUGGAACCAUUCUCUUCCUCGCUGUAAAUCCCGCCCGAGUGCUGCAGCCGCAUCGAGAUGCUCUCAUCCUAACAUUAGGGGUGGGAGACUACGCCGUGAAAAGAAUCCUGGUCGACCCAGGCAGCUCCGCGGACCUGUUGCAGGUGGCGGUCAUCAAACAAAUGGAUUUCGAACUCUCCAACUUGGAGAAUCCCGGAAGAACCCUGUCCGAAUUCAACAAUUCUUCCACAACCUCACUUGGGGAUGUAACACUGCCGGUUCAAGCCGGGCCAGUCAUCCUAAAUGUUCUAUUCUCUGUGGUUGAGGAUUUAUCUCCUUUCAAUGCCAUUUUGGGACGCAUGUGGUUGCAUGGUAUGAAGGCCAUUCCAUCCACAUACCAUCAAAUGGUCAGCUUCAUCACCCCAAGAUGGACAAAUUAAUCUUUACGGAAGCCAACUCGCUGCCAGGCAAUGUUAUCAGAUCGCUCGCGAGGCCGGGACCAGCGCCGACCGCGAGCACUCCCCCAAAGAAGCAAAUGCUUCUGACCAAUAGCAACUAUAGCACCCGGCGGACAAAGAUCCCCCGGCAGCAGACCCGCUGGAGGCUGUCCGGAUAUCAAAAGGAUGUGAACGCUUCACGUAUGUUAGUACCCUCCUACCGCCAGCCGAGAGAUUCGAGCUCCAAAAGGUGCUCCAACAAAAUUGCGAUAUCUUUGCUUGGGCCCACUCGGACAUGUCCGGAAUACUUCCGAGCGUCGCCUCUCAUCGGCUCAACGUAUUAGCCACCUCCAAGCCCGUUUGACAAAAAAUUCAACGAUUCCACCCGGACAGGCAGAAAGUCAUUCGGGAAGAAAUGGAAAAAUUAUUGAAGGCCGGUUUUAUAAAGGAGGUGGAGUAUCCGGAAUGGUUGGCAAACGUAGUAGUGGUCCCUAAGAAGGGAGGAAAAUGGCGGGUGUGCGUAGGCUACACCAAUCUCAAUGACGCGUGCCCCAAAGACAGUUUUCCACUACCGCGAAUAAAUCAGAUAGUAGAUGCAACCUUCGGGCAUGAAAUGCUAUCCUUUUUGGAUGCUUUCUCCGGGUAUCACCAAAUUCCCAUGGCUCCGGAAGACGAAGAAAAAACUUUCUUCAUAACUCCUCACGGGCUCUACUGUUAUAGAGUCAUGUCAUUCGGACUCAAGAACACUGGGGCCACGUACCAGAGGUUAAUGACCAAGAUUUUUAAGUCGCUGAUUGGCGACAUUAUUGAGGUGUACAUUGACGACGUGGUAGUCAAAAGCAAAACCCGAAGUGAACACACCUAGCAUUUGCAGAAAGUUUUUCAUUUAUUGAGAAAAUAUGGCAUGAAGCUUAACCCAGCCAAAUGCGCAUUCAGGGUAAGCUCGGGGAAGUUCCUAGGGUUCAUGGUUACCCAAAGAGGAAUCGAAAUCAAUCCAGAUCAGGUGAAAGCGGUCGCUGACAUGCUUGCACCAACGAACAAGAAGCAGUUGUAACGCCUCACUGGCAAACUCGUCGCUCUCGGACGGUUCAUAGCUCGAUUCACAGACAAGAUGAAGCCUUUCUUUCUAGCACUCAGAGAUGUCAAUAAAUCUGGAUGGACGCAAGGCUGCCAGAAUGCUUUUGAAGAAAUCAAACGGUAUCUUUCUCAACCCCCCAUUCUAAGCAGUCCGCUACUUGGGGAAAGACUAUACCUGUAUCUAGCAGUUACCGAUUGGGCUGUUAGCGCGGUCUUGCUCCGUUCCUUGUCGCCCCGAGAACAAAAACCCGUAUAAUUCAUUAGCAAAGCGCUUGCCGACGCAGAGACAAGGUAUUCAAGGAUGGAACAGACUGCCUUGGCAUUGCGCACGGCCGCUCAAAAACUGCGUCCCUAUUUCCAAGCUCACCCCAUAACAGUACUCACCAAUCAACCCCUCAGAAACAUUCACCAUAAACCGGACAUAACGGGAAGGAUGCUAUGAUGGGCGAUAGAGCUGAGCGAAUAUGGGAUAGAUUAUCAGCCCAGACUAUCCCUGAAGGGACAGGUCAUGGCAGAUUUUAUAACAGAGUUGCCUGAAGAGCGCGCGCCGGACAAAAAAUCGACUCCGGAUGAUGGGUGGUCUCUGCAUGUUGAUGGGGCCUCCCGCUCGUCCGGAUCAGGAGUCGGACUCCUCCUCAAAGCACCAACCAGAGAACAGCUGGAGCAAUCCAUCCGUCUAGAUUUUCCCGCCUCAAACAAUGAAGCUGAAUACGAGGCCAUCCUAUCCGGAUUGGGCCUUGCAUCCACCCUGAACGCCUCAAAAGUCAAAAUCCACAGCGACUCCCAGCUCGUCGUGGAGCAAAUACGAAAAGAGUAUGAGACCAAGGAUGAGCGCAUGGCUAAAUAUGUCAUGACCCAAAUUCCGGGCGACCCAAAAUUUGGCCCGUGACCCCUGGUCAAAGGUUUGACCCUAAGGGUUUCUCCUAUUCCACGUUGGCAGUCAACUAAAACACUCUGAAUUUUUUUUUAUUUUUUAUUUUUUAUUUCAUAUAAGUCCCACUAGGGUUCUCACCAACUAACAAUAUUUUAAACCUUACUUAAACACAUCAAGAUUUAAUAAACCUCAUUGCAUCCCAAAAUAAAAUUUCAUAAAAAUCCCCUUAAUCAAACUAAGGUCUUAUUACAUUAUCCAUAAUUCACUUAUUACAAGGUCUCAAUACCACAACACAAUAAAAAAAUAAAACCUUUCCACUAAACCGCUCCAGGGGCAUCCUAAAGUCCUCCCUGUCCCAUCUGUGGAUCCUCAGGAGUGAUAUCUGCAUCUAAAAAUAUAUAAAAAGGAAGGGGUGAGCAUUUCCACAUUACUCAGUAGGGUGCCUAACACCCAAAGGGUUAAUGGGGGAUUACUAUAUUUUAAGAACCCAAACGCAACAAUUCACCAAUAUAAAUCAAGUCACACAAUUUAACAUACAACACUAUACUUAAUUCCACAACAUCCACUUAUUAAAUGAAUGCAUAUAAACGUGUGACACACAAUCAUACAAUGCACUAUCGUUCUCGGGCUUUCACCGAAGGAUACGCGUCCGCACCCAAAUAUACUCCCCAUUUGGAGUCUUCUCGAGGUAAACUUUUGGGUCUUUCACCCUAGGGAUCUCUCUCCCUUCUUAGUUCGCCUCACACGGGCUUUCACUUUUCAUCACUAUUUUAUUUUUUUUUCCAUUUCAUACACUUUUCACAAAUUUUUUUUUCUUCAUACAACCAUGAUGCAAAUGAAUGCUACAAACUCCAAAAUUCCUCAAAAAUUUCAACAAUUCCAACAUUUUCAAUAACCCAAUAAAAUAAAAUUUUCACAUUAAAAUUCCCGAAAAUAUACCAACGAAUUUUCGGAAAUUCACACAUCAAUAUACUUGAAUUUAUGUCACAAUUUCAGAAUUUUUCAAUAAUUCUAAUAAUUCCUAAUAUUUGAGAAUAACUAAUUUUUCACAAUAAAAUUACCGCAAAUAUUCCAAUCAAUUUUCAAAAAUUCAUAAGUCACUAGAUUUGAAAUCUUACCCUAAUUCCGGAAUUUUCCUACAUUUCUAGCAAUUUUUAACAACCUAAAAUAAUUAUUUAUUAAUUACAAAGAAUUCCGGAAAUUACAAAAAAAAUCCAGAAAAAAUCCCAAAUCAUUCCAGAAAAUUCACACAACAUCAAAAUUACCUAAUUAACUCAUAAUUAUCAGAUUUAUAAUUUUUUUCCAAUGAAAAAUACAUUAAAUUUGAGUUUUAGGGUUAGUUUUCCCCUACCUCAUAUAUGAAAAUUUGGCCAUUAAAAACAAAAUUAGCCACCGUAGACUUGUUCCUCUAGUCGAAUAGAGCACUUCCUCCGAAUUUGGGCCGAAACGGAGGUCGCUUGGCCGUCCAAACGGCCGGUCAAAGAUCCGGAGAGUGACCAAAUUUUCUGCAGUACUCUCUCUCUCUCUCUCUCCCCGCGUGCUACCAGUUUUCCAAUUCUCCCCCUUUUCCUUUUUUUUUUUUUUAACAACAAAGGCUUCCUACCACCAGCCCAUAUCUAAGCCCAAUCCAUUUCAUAUCUUUUUUUUUUUUUUUAAGACAUCACCCACUUAAGCCCAAAACCAAAAGCCCAACUCCAUUAUUAUUAUUAUUAUUUUCUUUUACAACCCAUUACCUUAAACGGCCAAUAUUCAAAGCCCAAUGAAUAUUUUUAUUUUAUUUCUUUUCUUUUCUUUUCUUUUCUUUAUUCUAAUUGUUUUAUUGGAUUUCCAAUUCAGUUUUUUUUUUCAUUUUUUUUAACACACAAUUUAUUUAUUAACAUCAAUCUAAAACUAAUUUUUCUCAAUUUUAUUAUUCAUCAAUUUAAUUUAAUUUUUCUUAAUUAAUUCUAAUUAAUUUUUUUUAAUUAAUUCAUUUUUUUUAAAAUUUUUCGGAAAAUUUCAAUUUCUAAAAUCCUAAGAAAUUUUCUACUCUAAGGCUGACAUGGCAUAAAAUUUCAACUCGUUUAAUUGACCGACACAAUAAAACGAAAUUCACCAAUCCGAAAUUAACACGUGUUCUCCAAACACUUUUCUUUUUGACUUUUCAACCAUCACACAAAAUAAGACUUUUCAAACUAAAAAUGCUAACGUGGCAUAAAAUACCCGGUCAUUACAAAAUACCUAUUGAAAGUACAAGAAUCACUCAGACAGCUGAGAGAGUGGGUCAUUAAGAAAGUCCCAAGGGGAGAAAAUGUGCAAGCCGACGCUUUAGCGGGUAUAGCCUCAUCAUUUCCUGUGAAAGAAUCAACGAUGCUACCCGUAUACGUUCAAGUCACUCCCUCCAUCGCUGAGUCACACGUUUGCAAUGUGGGCCCAAAAGAAAACGACUGGGCGGUUGACAUCAGAGCCUAUUUACAAGCGGGGGCAUUGCCUGAAGAUCCCAAGCUCGCCCACAAAAUUUGGGUGCAAGCGUUCCGCUUUACCCUAAUCGGAGGUGAUCUCUACAGGCGAUCCUUCGGAGGUCCGUACCUCAGAUGCUUGAUCCAGCCGGAAAUCCAAUAUGUUCUAUCCGAACUUCAUGAAGGCGUUUGCGGCAACCACUCAGGGGGCAGAACCCUGGCACACCGGGCGCAUUCACAAGGAUAUUAUUGGCCUACAAUGAGGCAGGACGCAGAGAUCUAUGUCAGGAAAUGCGACAAAUGUCAAAAACACGCGCCAUCCCACAUAUGCCCGCUGAGACAUUAAACUCAAUGACAAGCCCCUGGCCCUUCGUGCAAUGGGGGAGGGACAUCGUGGGACCCUUACCCACUGCAGCCGCUCAGAAGAAGUUCCUACUCGUUGCCACCGAUUAUUUCAGCAAGUGGGUGGAAGUUGAAGCCUACACAAGCAUCAAGGACAAGGACGUCACAAGGUUCGUCUGGAAAAAUAUAGUAUGUCGAUUCGGAAUCCUUCAGGCGAUCAUGGCCGAUAACGGCCCUCAGUUUGAUAGCUCUGCCUUUAAAGAUUUCUACGCGGAACUUCACAUCAAAAAUCUGUAUUCCACGCCGCAGUACCCUCAGAGCAACGGUCAAGCGGAAGCAACCAAUAAAACCUUACUGAGUGCGUUGAAAAAACGAUUGGAAAAAGCCAAAGGAAAGUGGGUAGAAGAGCUGCCCGACGUCUUAUGGGCUUAUCGAACUACACCCGGAAGGCCGACAGGGAAUACCCCAUUCGCUCUCACAUACGGAACAGAUGCCGUCAUCCCAACUGAAGUAGAUAUGCCCACAGCCCGGACUGCCGUCCAAGGUAAAAGAAAUGAAGAUGAAAAGCUUGCAAAGCACUUGGAUUGGACGGAUGAGACUAGAGAGGCAGCAUCCAUCCGGAUGGCCGCAUAUCAACAAAAGGUGGCUGCAUAUUAUAACAGGAGGGUGCGACCUCGGAUUUUCAAGGAGGGGUCAUUGGUACUUAGAAAAGUUUUUGAAAACACGGCUGACGAAGGAGCCGGAAAAUUUCAAGCCAAUUGGGAAGGUCCUUAUGUGGUGUCAAAAGCCAACGAAAAUGGGUCGUACCAUUUACAAACCUUAAAUGGAACCCCUCUACUCCGCCCUUGGAAUGAAAGAGAAAUUUUGUAAAGGUAACAUUUUUAUCCCGUCUUUUCUGACUGUGCUAGACAGGCGAUAUAAAAGGGGGCAUUGUGGGAUCCUCCCUAAAAACUGCCGCGUGGCUCCCUCUCCCUUGCGACAUGUGGCACCGCCGACAUUCCACCCGGACAUCUCACAUCCGGAAUUCUUCUCCGCCGACAUUCCACCCGGAUGUCUCACCGCCGCAAUUCUAUCCGGCCAACGUUCUACCUUAUCCGGAUGUUUCACAGCCUCCAUUAUAUCCGGCCGACGUUCCACCUUCUCCGGAUGGGAGAGGAGGACGAUUCAACUUCCCCGGGCAGACAUGUUCGGAUCCUUUGGUGACACUUACUCGGACAGCUUGGCUCGUCAGAUACUCGUGAUUCGUCGGAUCCAUUUCCGCCCACAAUCAAAGAGAUAACUCUGACAAUACUGACGACCAAGUCUCCUGAACUAUCACUCACAUUUAAUGCAAGAUACAUUCGACAAGACAUUCCCAAGUCUUCUCAGGUCUCCUGAUACAUCCCCGAUAUUUAAAGUCAUAAAUUGAGGCGGAGGAUGCCACCUAAAUAUCCUCCUGACAACCGCAAUCUUGGACCAGAAACGUCAUGAUUGCUUCGCCACCCUAUGAGCCACAAUCAUGACGAUGAAACCCACUGGCACAGCGAGGCGAUAUUUUCUGACUCAUAUAUAAACUCUAAGAAGGCUCUCAGGGAGGUAAAAGAUAAGAAGAAAAAAAAAAAAGCAAUAAGCAAUAUAGCAUUCUGGAGGCCAUAAGCCAAAAAAGAUAAGCAACAAAGGAUAAACAUCCUACUGAGGGAUAAACAUCCUUGACAAAAAUCACGGAGCCACACUCCCAAAGGAAAACCUUAUUUUCCAAACAGCUUCCAAAAUACUAACUUAAUCAUCGGAAGGUGUGUCCGGACAACCCAUCCGGACAUCUUUUUUGCAGGAGGAAGAAGGAUUCACUGUAACGCGUUGAUCGAGAUCCCGUUGCUGGUGACGACUAUUGUAGCAGUGGAACUUUGCCAUCAACAAUCACUACUAAAAAGAUUGAUUAAAAUAAGAGAAUUAUUAGAAAUUGUAAAAAAGGAUAACAAAAUUUGUAUACCUCAAUUUGAGAAUGCUUCACCCUCCCCCUAAAGCCAUUUAGAUGAAUAUUAUUCAAUAUAAUGCAGUAGUGUACUCUCAAGCAUGCUAAAAUGUAAGGAUCGAACAAAAAAAACAGAGUAUAAUAAUACUCAAAGUACUUUCUGAAUCAAAAAAUAACUCAUCAGGGUUUGAGAAUUCUUAUUACCUUUACAGAUUGGCAAAUCAUAAGGCCUUUGCAAACCGAAGGUACUAGAAGACUUACUAGGUUUUUUUAAGAGGCGUGAUGAGCUUGGAAAGCUAACCACUGAUGUACAAUACUAAGCUUAAGCAAGAGAGAAACUAUUAUUGACAUGAAAUUGAGAAAUGGUAAAUUAUCAGCUUUAGCACUAGAAUUUAUCUUUUGAUUGAUCAUGAGAAUUAAUAAAGUUUAGGACAAUCUUUUUUGUGAUUAAAUUGUAACACAAGAAAAUCUAGAUGUAGACACAUUCAUGAUUUUACUUAAUUGGCUAACAAAACCUCAAGGUCCUCUCCAAAUUAAAAGAAUUCAAUUUUUAUUGAUGUCUUAUUUUUGUAAAUGCAUUCAAACAUAGUGGUAUGGUUUUAACUUUUAUUCACUUUAUUUAAAUAUUAUUUACAUAUUGGGUAAUUAAUUAAUGCUUUUUCAUAAUAACAUGAUUAACCCUAUGGACAUAGAAGAAAAGAAGUUAUAAUAUAUAUAUAUGUAUAUAUCAAUUUUAUAAAAAUUUGCAUAAUGAGUAUAUUACAAAUAAUCAAGAAUAUUUUGAAUCACACUUGAAAUCAUAUUUAAUUCAUACUUAAAUCAUGUCUAAAAAAUUUGAAAUAUGUAUAUAAACAAACAAACAUAUAUACAUCUAUUAUUGUUAACUUGUGAAUGAGAAAUGGAUUCAAAAAAGUAUAAAUUUAGCAAAAUCAAUACCAUAAUUUUAUCUUCAACUCAUUGCAUUGGGUCAAGAUGAAUUCCUCUACUAAAACAUUUGAAAGGAAAAUUUUGCAGUUGAGAUGUUCGUCUUCUCUUGAAUUUGAUAGUUUAUUCUUAAGUUAAGAUUCCUCCUUCCCUUUAUAAAAUUAAGUGGAGUGUGACUAUAAAUUGAUUAAGAGUUUAAUCAAAAUUGAAAAUUUACUUGAAACAUCUUACUUGCCUCAAUGCAUAAGGAUGCAUGCGUGACCAAUUGAGUUUGGGCCUUCAAGUCAUUUGAGCUGUUCACCUUCAAUUGCUUGAGCUUGAUAUAUUCCUUCUAGACAUCAACUAUACCCACGACUAAUGCAUUACAUUAUUUAAUUUUCUGUUUUAAAUUGGUUUAAUAGAAUAACUAAUGCUUUAGAAAUGAUAACUUUUAAACUAAAAAAAAUCAAUCCAAACAACUUUGGUUCAUGAAAUCAAUAUCAUAAUUUAAUUUUUAACUCAUUUGGAACACCUAAGAACCUAGAACAACCUCUCAAAAUAUUCUAAAGCAAAAUAUUUGAAAUUGAAAUGUUCUUCCCCGCCUAAUUUGAUUACUCAUUCUUACUUUGAGACUCUUAUCUCCUUUUGAGACCAAGAAAUAUAGAGUACAAAAUUGAAUAAAAUGCGAGUUCAAAUAGGUAAGACUUUAAUCACAAUUCAAAAUUGACUUGAAAUAUUUUAUUUAGUUAGAACUUCCAUGACUUAACCAUUCAAGUUCAAGGCUAAUGUGUAAUUUCCUCUAUAACUUAUUUAACUCAAUGUUUAGUAUUUUGAAAUUAACAAUGCAAUCAAGCUGAACCUAAAAAUACCCAAAAACAAGUCCUAAUAGAUGUGAUUUUUUUUAAUAAAACAAAAUUCGGAUUUUAGACUUAAUGGAGGCCUUGGACUUUCAAAAUAGGGUAGCUAGGAAAAAAAAUAAGAGAAGAAAAAGUAAUGAAAAUCAUUGGAAAGAAUUUAAGCCCGUUAAAUCACUUAGCAAGAGCUUACCAAAAGAGAGGUGGCUUACCAAAAGCUUGAGAUGAAUGUUUAGCAUCUUCUACAGCAUAUCCAUUGAACAAAUUUGCAAAUUAAGAAGCUCCAUUCACUUGUGCAUUUGGUCCUCUUCAUCAUCUUGGGCAUCAACAACAUUAUCAUUAAUAUUUUGUGUUAUUGUAUCCAUUGGAGAAUGGUUGUUGCCCAUACAUUGUAUGUCGUCACAGCUUCUCUGUGCAUUAACAUCAGCAUCAAGUACUGAUUUGGUGCCACAGCUUCUCUGCACAUCAAGGUACCGUGUCUUUGCUGCAUGCUGCAUGAUUGUACUUGAUGCCUUUUAUAUUGGUAUCGUGGGAGGUGGCAAAACAAACUGCCUCUCCAAGGAGGUAUCCUCUGACAUUAUGAAAGAAAGAGAGGGUGAUGGAGAAAUCUUCCCAUAAAGACAAAUGUAGUGUAUAGUUGUGCAAGCUUUAACAGAAUCUUCUGGUCUCGCAGCCCAACAUUGAUCUUCAACCAAUUGGCGAUCUCAACAAGCCUUGAAAACUUACCCAUCAUCUUUCACAUGCUCUCCUGAUAGAUUGGCUGCCUCUGUCAAUGCACCCCUCCACCUUUGCACCAUCUCUUUCUUCUCUUUUGUAUCUUCUUUAUAAUUCUUAAAGGCUUCUCCAAAACUUCCUGUUUGCUUUCGUACAUGGGAUGGACCAACAUGGUAGAAAAUUGAGAGGACGAUUUGUCCCAUUUCUUUCCUGCACUCCAUGAUCUUAACAAGCUCAUUUAAACACCAUCUUGAAUCAGCAUAGUUUUUAGAGAAAACGAUUACGGAAAACCUUGAUCUUUCAAUGACUUUGAAGAGUUCUGACCCAAUCUCUUCUCCUCUCUUAAGUUUAUCAUCUCUGAAGGUGCGAUUGCCUCUCUUAAGCAAAGCUUGGUAGAGGUGAUCAGUGAAAUUAUAGCGGGUGUCUUCGCCUCCAAAACUCAAGAAAACAUCAUAGUUCUUUUGAGGGAUGGAAUUAGUAGUAGUCGUAGCAGAGGAAGAAGAAGAAGAUGAAGAUGAAGAUGAUGAUGAAAAGGGUAUUAGAAAACUUAGGAACGCAAUUAUGGAAGCUAUUAGGGAAUUUAUGAAAGGCAUGGUUGGUUUUUGUUUCAAAAUCACAAGAGGGUGUGAGGCUUGAUUUCUCUUGUGACUUGAGGAUAUGUAGCAAGCAAACUUUGCUUAAUACAUAAACUGUUUCUUAGUAAAAAGCUGGGGAGGUAAUUAAGUGGCUUCCACUGACCUUCCUAAGCAACUUCAAUAUUUGUAGUUUGGUAGAUAGGAAAGAAGGACAGCAUUCCCAGUGCCGAAAGAAAGAGAUUCUCUCAUUCUUACAUUUGCUUUUCUUUUAUCACUUUUUGCUUUUGUUUUGUUGUCUCACAGGUAGGCCAUUCAAUUCAAUGAUCAGCAUUUGGUUCUUGCACUUUUCAGUGUAUUCUUCAAGCCAUGAAUGGAAUUGAAAGGUAACUGUCAAUUUUUUAAUGUACGGCUUCACGUUCUCUUUUUUACUUUUGCUUUUGUCAUCAUUACUGCAAUGCCAUUUUUCUUCAAUUUUCCCUGUUGCCUUUCUCUUUUAUUAUCAUUCAGUUCUCUUUGAACGAGCUGAGCGGGGCCAGCGGGCAAAGAAAAGACUUCUGUAUACCUUGCGUCUGUUUUUCUUGCCACUUUUUCACUUUUCUUCUGUUUUCAUUUGGGUGUUGCAUGCACUCAACUUCCCUUUUAAAAAAUAAAAAUAUUUUACUCUUACUAAAUAAUAAAAAUAAUUUGUUGAUUUUUAUUUAUUUCUUAAUAUUUAAUAAAAAUAAAAUAUUAAAAAAAUACGUAACUUAAUACUUGACACUAUUAAAUAUUAUUUAGUUUUAACUUAUAUUUAAAAUUAAAUAAAGAAAACAAAUAUCAUCUAAGACCUUUUUUUUAAACAUUUCAAUAAUUUAUCUAACCAAAAGUGAAGAAAACUUGUGUUCCUAGAUUAUCUGUAAUUUAUCUAACCAACAGCCCCAGCCAAAAAUAAAAAUAAAUGCAACCAUAUCAUAUUGUUGCAAUUGAAGUUGACCGCCACAAAGCUGGAGCAAACAUAGUAUAUGGUUGCGGCUAGUGUUAUUUCCCCUAUUAUAGUUUGAAAGACAAGGCAGCAGCCAAAAGGAGGGUGCAACUGAAGCUUCCGGAUAUAGUUGUGGCAGUUUAAUUCCCUCCACCAAAAGGUAUAUAAAGCAAUAUAGCACCUGUUUUCCGCUGCUGUAAGCAUCUUAUGGUCAAACAUUAAAUGGUGGCUGUAGAGUUCCACAAGUUACUUUGUGGUUUUUUUAUAUAAAAUGUCUGUGCAGAUAUGCAGACUUAGUUUCAGUGUACCGCCAUCUCACUUCACAGGUUACAAACCGGCUAUUAUAAUAAGUUUUUCAGAAUUUAAGCACAAUGAACAAUACAACAUAUCAACAACUAAAGUUGAUUGACUCUGCUAUUUUGGGUCAUUGACUGUCCUUGAGAGUUCAAGUUGUCAUGUUUGUACUUGCUUUGCAUUACUAUUGCAACAAUUACAUACUACAGUUGAAACCAACAUCAAUGAGACUUGACGUUUACAAAUUAAAUUUUCCCAGCUAGAAGGUGGGGUCUCACUUUCCUCACCAAGCCCUGAACUUCAACAGCAUCUGGAAACAUGCAUUCAAUGCGGAUGCCAUAGUGUUUCUUAACAGUAUCCAAGAAUUGAUAUGUUUCCAGGUUGAACCUUCCGGUGUUCAAGUUGAACACCUUUAAUGGACAAUUCAGCAGCAUCUUCAGCACCACUGCCAAAAAAACAGGAAAGCAAAUAUUUUUUUCAGUACACAGCUUUGAUUCUGAUUCCACUAGUAAAGAUGAUGCAGAAUAUCACACAUGGAUUGAUCAAUGACAGAUACAGGAGUAGCAGAUAGAGAUAAAAGAAACACAAUAUAAAGUACUUAAUUCCAUUCUGGUGGAAAUCCCAGUUUUUCAAUUGAAAAUGGAGUACCAGUACUGGAUUAAUCAGGUGUUCUGUUUUGAAACAAUUGUCAGAUAACCAUAUAUAGAGCUUCAAAUGUUGCAUAUUGCAUACAACUUCAUGAUUCUGCACAUCCCAAUAAAAGUUCCUACGAGAUCCAGUAUAAAAGUAUAAACCUAACUCCCCAAAUCAGUAAUGCUGGCAUUAAAAUGCUAGCACUAAACUAAUGGCUACAGUCAACUUGUUGCACACUUUUUCAAGAAUGAGUCAAAACACAGUAACGUUAAUGGAUAUGAUGAUCUGUUGACAAGAGAACACCAUUCCAACAAGAUAUCUCAUGUGUUUUCUAAAACCAGAUAAGGUUUAGAAACAGUUACAAUAGCAUGCAAGCAUGUCUGCAAAAUCGUAACUCCACAGAUCUAUUAGAAUAUGUAACACAAAUUUCAUCUACCUCAUACCUGCUUUUACAAAAUCUGUAUGUUUAUACUGAGCUUUUCCUUUAACAUCCUCCUCUGUUACAGAAUGUACAUGAACACAAAACUCAAAUCAAUGUCCUCUAUAGUCAAUUGGUACUCCUUAUCUUCUGCUCCAACUAUUAUCACUGGACUGUUCCAUCCUCUUCUUAACCAACUGAAAGACAUAAAUAGAAAAGCUAUGUUAUUUUUUAAUUUCAACAACAGUAAAAUCACUGCUUUGAAAAACCUCACAGUGAUGUAGAACAGCUGGAAACAGGUUCCAAAUUUUAAUAGGAUUUAAUGAUUUUAACUGUAGGGAUUGGAACAUCUUGACCACUCCCUUUUCAGCCCACAUCUUCCACUCCCUCCCUAUUUCUCCUCAUAAUUCAUUGAGGGUUCAAUUUCCUUUAACUCUAUUUUUGUCUUCUCGCCUAAGCAUACAUUCCUGAGAUGCCAAAGAUAACUCCCUCCUUGUCAACUGCAAAGAGGAGUUGCAUGGCCUCUUCACUUCGCAACACCUUCUCCUGGAGUCCCACCACACUCCAGACAUUCAUGGACAUUGGCACUUAACUGCCAAAAUCAUGAAAAUCUAUGAUUGCCCCUAACAUUAUAUGAAAACUAGUUGCAUAUUAUGUCAGAAAAAUUCAAACCCCCAGCCCAUAUGCUAUGGCCCUCAACUUUGCCAAAGAAAUAGGCGUUAUUUUCCAAUGGUGUUAAUCCCCAUAACUGGAAUGCAAAUUGGAUUCUACUUGUUUGUUCCAAAGGUAUAAACUAACACAUCCCAGGCAAGCUGACCUUGUAGCUAACCAACUUUUUGUAGGUAUUCAGAAAAUGCUACUUGAACAAUGAUGCAGGUGUGAUCGAUUUACAUUUACAUAUUUGAAUCAUCAAAAAAAGAAGCUGAGCAGCACAUAGGAAGUUCAUUUAACAAUAUAUUCAUUAUUUAUAACCAGCGGCUUAAAUUAUGAACAUUCAGUGAAAAUUACCUGUAAACCCAUUCAUUAUCAUACCAAGAGACCAACUUGAUAAAGUUGUCAUUCAGAGCAAUUCCAGCCUUGGCAUAAAAAAUACUCGACCUGCCAAAGGGCAAGUGAUUAUACAAUUCACUUGCAAAAUAAGAAAAGUAUUGAAGACGAGGAAGAAUAAAGAUAUUGCAAGAUUUGCCUCACCUGCGGUCCCCGAUAAAGUCACUUGAUACCACAUCAUCCUUAGUGUAACCAAGGAUUUCCUUCAAAUUUCCCUCAUAUUCCGCCCUGAAAGAGAAUCAGAUGGUUAAAUUAAUAAGAAUAUCUCGAGUUAUUCUUUUUCAUCCUCUUUUCUUGCAAAUCAGAAGGUGCAACCAGCCAAGAAAAAGAAAUAAAUAAAUCCAAAUCAGAAUAUGAUAGAAAUUCAAAAAGAAAAAAAAUUCCUUCUAGAUCCAUUUGUAUAUAUGAAAAAACUCUCACAAACACAAACAUAUAUAUUAGUCAUAUUAUUGUGGAACUAACUAUAAGUAAUGCUAAUAAACAUUGAAGAGUAGUUAUGGAGCAACAAAAUUUACUCUAGCAGCAACUUUCAAGAAGAAACCAUCCUCAAAAUCGGUGGCAUAUAUUGAAAGGUUGAGGCCUUAACUCAAGAGUAGAUAUGAAUGGAGAGAGAGAUUUGGAUGAACUACAACAACAGAAUGGAAAACAUAAGAACAAGAUGUAAGUUUGAAUUCAAGAAUGGUCUAAAAGUUAUCUCUUGUUCCGAUUUAUAGAAACUUACAGUACACUGUCCAAGAAUAAUUCUUGAAACAUUGCUUAGUUUAAGUUGUUUCACUUUUUUGCCAGAGUACCAUAUCGACAUAGAUUCAUCCUGAAACAUGACCUAGGAACACAAAUAUAUGGGAACAGAGGAUGAAAGAAUCAAGAGGAAACAUACCUGUAACUUGCUCCUCCUGUAAGAGCAAAUUGCAACUGAUAGAUGCAGCUUCUCCAAGAUAAACUGCACACAAUAAAUACCCAGAAGCACAUCUUCUCAAAAAUGAAAAAUUUUCAACACCUAUAAAUGAAUGGAUUUGAAUUAGACCUAAAAGGUAAAUAAAUCCUUUGGUUCCAAAAUAGAAGCCAUAGGAUAGAACAUAAUUCCUACAAAAUUGGGGCAAAAAAUAGAAAAACCAUAUAAACCUACCAGUGUCACUAGGUCCCAAGGGUUUUACGGGCCUAAAAUGAUUCAGGCCUAUCUAUUCUCCACCAUCUAGAAUCUGUAAAUCAGGGGUUACCUAAGCACAGGAAUGAGUUAAAGAUCCUUGAGAAAUGAAUUUUCAUAUGGAGAAGUCUUUUCGUCUAAAAUACAACGAUAUCCAAGUAGGUGGAUGAUCUUCAUACCUUUCCUGUCUAAAACACCAGUAAAGCCUUUUGGGGCACCCUCAGGUGGAAUUUUCAUACCUACAUUUAGGGCUUCAAAUUACACCAACAACAUCUUUGAGAAAUCAUCAAACUUAAGAGAUUAUCUCAAUCCAUAAGAAAGGAAGAAAAAUCAGCUAGAAAACCUCCAAAUCGAAACUUCUACAGUAAUGAGUGGACAAAAAAAUGGAGAAGUCAUACCUGAAAAGCCACCAAAUCCUCUGGUAACUUGAAACCCUAGCAAUUCAAAACCCUAGAGAAAACCAUAAGGUAGAAAAUAAUAGAGUGAAAUCGAAAAAAUAAAAAAUAAAACAAAGUGGCAAUGUUGAAAGAAAAAAAUACCAAGCCGCAUCCCACAAUGCCUGAAGAAUCAUCCAGCUAUUACAAGAGAAAAAAAAAAAAACAAUGAGUUCGGUACCGACAAUGAUGAAAGAGGAAAUGGGUUUGGCAAUCAAAGGUGAACGGGAGAGAAGUGGGUUUGGCAACGAGGGCAAGCAGGAGAGAAAUGUUGCAAUUUAUAUAUGGGUUUUAUGGUAGCGGUCUGGUGGCGUCCUGGGCCAUAUAUGGUAGCGGCCAAUUUUAUCCCACAGCUAUAGGAUGUUUAUAGCAGCAUCCAAUUAAUCCUGCAAACUAUAUGUCUGGUGGGAACCACUCUGCAACUGCGACUUGCGUAGCUGUGAGAUUAUAUAUAUACUUUUUAGUUGCGGAUGUUGUCGACCCUUCCUAAAAUUACGCGACUAUAUCUCACUUUUUUAGUAGUGUGAUUAAUGUCUCCCCACAUUUCCAGAGAUUACCUUAAUCUCCCACAUGGUUUUCAAUACAGAAAAGAAGAAAAUCAGAGGUUUGAGAGAGAAUUGCAUGUCAAGGAAGUAUUUAAUUGUAUUGAAAAAAAUCUUUUAGCUUAUGCAGAACCAAGAUAAGCUGCCAUGAAUAUACCCCUAACAAUGUGACCAAGAUACGAGCACCACUGCAACCUAUUGGAUGUCCCAAAGAUAUAGAUCCACCAUGAACAUUGACCUUUUCCUGAAUCCACAAAAGAGCACAUGCUUAUAGAGGCAGAAAUAUGAAAAUGCUCAGGAAAAUAAAAUUGUACAAAACUGAAGUAAACAAAUUCAAUGUAUAGUAAGUCACUAUAGGUUAAAAAAAAAAAAAGUUGAGACGGUGAACCAAAACACUCACAGGAUCAAGACCGCAACUUUUAAUUAGCAAGAGCUACAACCUGCAGAAAGCAAAUGAGAUCAUAAAAUUAGCAUAAACUGUUACUUGAUAAAAGAGAUGGUAGAAGUAUAACAAGCACAAGAAUAAAUCCUUACGGCGAAAGCCUUGUUUAUUUCAUAGUAAUCAAUUUGAGAAGCCUUCAGGCCAGCAUUAGAAAUAGCUUUUGGAAUUGCAAGGGCUGGGGUAGUUGUAAACAACUCAGGUGCCUGCCCAAGCCAAUCAUGUUUUAGUAUCAAGUCAUCUGUGGUCAUAUCAAGAUCGAGACAAAUAUAAGUUAACUUUUUAACAGUACCUGAGCAGCAUCACCAUAUCCUGCAAUCUUAGCAAUCACUUGGACUCUAAGCUCAACUGCCUUCUUACCAGUCACUAGCACUAAUGCAGCCGCACCAUCACUGUCCACAAGCGAAUAGCACCAACUUACAGUGAAAUGAUUGGCAACACCUCAUGGGUUGACAUGCUUGGUUACAUAGAAAUAUACAACAGAAAUCUAUCAAAGCAAUAUAUGGGUUUAACUAAAAUCUGAUGAACUAAAAGAAUCACUAUCUCUUUAGUGGGUUAACAAAAAAGUAUAUGCCCCUAACUUAGGUGUUUAGAUAUGAAUUUAGUUAUUUAUUUUCAAAGUGAAGCCCUAUAUAAAGAAUCUGGCAAGAGUUUCUCAUUUGGCCCAGAUGGUUGGGAAAUUCAAUUGUUCAUCUCACAUGCUACAACAAGAUCAGGUGUUUGAGACUCUUAAGGACAAGGCAAGCAUGUGAGAGCACACACACACACAUACCUUAUGCUAGAAGCAUUCCCUGCAGUAACUGAACCCCCAUCCUUGAAACUUGGUCAAAGUUUCCUUAGUUUUGCAGCAUCAAACUGUCAAGAUGGAAAUGGAUAUCUUAGAAAGCAAGGAAAAUAGAUGGUAUUGAGAACCCAGAACAUGAAUUUGUUUCAUGACAGGUAAGGUAAUUACUGGGUUAAAGAUGAUCUGACUAAUACCAUUUGGUGAUUAGAUCCUAUAUAUUUGUUUUCAUACAUCAAAUUACCCAUUACAUUACAGCAAUGCCCAGGCCCCUUUUAAUUGAUGAAGAUUGAAAUGGCUUGAUAGAAAAAUUGAAGAAUGAUUCGACAUAUUAGGCAAAGUAAAUAAAAUGAAGAGAACGGCACAGGAUUGCUUAUAUCAAUAACCAGUUGCAAAUGGAAGAGUGGCGUCAACAACUUUUCCCAAAUUACAUGUAUGAAUAAGAAAUUUAUAUUUCAGAUGAUGUACGUGAAUCCCUAUGCCCAUAAAUAAUAUUUACCUUUCCUAGACCUUCAUCCUUAUCAACAAGUGCAGAUGGCAAAGUCACAUGGACCCGAUUAGUAUUUUCAAAGCCAUUUACAGUAACUUUAAGAAAAAAUGAUGUGUGAUAGUCAACACAUAAAUCACUCUUGCAAGCAGUACUGUUAUUUUAAUUUGUGUUCACUUGUUGUUCUUGUGAUGCAUGGUUUCACCAAGAGUUCGUUAGACAUGUCCACUCAAAUGAAAUUAGACCGAAGAUUGAAAAAGUAGAAGAAGAUACAAACUAAUCACAGUACAAUUUUCAACCCUACUUGGUAAAUUUCAUUUAAGUUCCAAACAACUAGUGGGUAAAAAACAUUGAGGAAAAUUUCUCAACAGACUAAUCAUUCCAAACUGUUACCUGUUGUUCUCUUGUUAUCUUAUGCUGAUCAGCACAUAUUUCUGCACAAAUUGCCAUUCCAAAAUCGUUGUAAACAUCCCAGAGGCCAUCUUUGGCCAUACCAUCAACAGUAGUAUCAUGGCCUAAUCGAGAUCCAUUUCUGUUUAUAAGCUCAGAGUCAGCUUAGAUACAUAGACACUUCUCCCUAUUAGUAAGAACGGCAACAAUAUGUACUGGCCCAACAUGCUUUGUUCACAUACUGAGAAUCAUGUUAAACUAAGCAAGCAACUCAAUAGACAAAAUUGAUCACAUGACCCAAAAAGCUAACGUUGCAUCUACUAGGUAUUUAGGCGCAUUAGACAUACUUUCCAUGCCACCAGCCACAACUACAUCAUUUUUACAUACUCUCAACCCUCUUAAACUAUCACCAAAAAAUUGUAAAAUAAUCCUGAUCUUUAGUAUAGUCAUUUGCUGAAAGUUCAAUUUUUGAAGGGAGUAUUAUGGCUGUUUAUUCAAUUGUGAGCACCCAAAUUGAACUCCCCUAUGAAGAUGGGAUUGACUACACACAGUUCUCAAUUUUCUUCUCUGAUAGAGAGGCAUUGGAACCAGGUUACAUGAUAGGGCAGCUCCGGCAAAUUCCCAAAGAGAGAUGGGCUGAAAUGUGGAGGCAUCUAAAGUACAUCUCUCAUCACUAUGAAUUCCAGUACCCCUAAAGAAAGGAGACAAUAUUGAUAUGCUAUGGAGACAGGUAAAGCACAAGCUUCCCAGGGCCAACCUUGAUGUACAUAGAAGCCGAAGGUUGAAAGCUCCAGACUGGUGGGACCGCAGGAGAUAGUUUCUGCAUCCUGCCUUCAUUACCUUGUAAAUUAAAAAAUCAUUCAUAGUGGCUACAGUCUUAAAGGGGGAAAAUUUUCCACACAACAAAUGGAUAUAUCAAUUCCAAUGUGCUUUGCUGGCUCUUCAUGUCUUGGAAGAAUUUAGAAAGAACCAUCACAACUUUCCCUUCAAAUUUAUGUCCACUAUUCUAGCAUUUUCUCUGAAUAAUUGAGGUGGUUGGUUGCCUUGAAAUUGGUUUUCCCUCUAGCCUUAAUGGGGAGGAAGAAUUUUCUGGACGUUAUAUUUUCCUAGCAGUGUUGGUGGUUGAAAUGAAUUCUUGGAAAUGUAUAUGUUUUUGGUGGUCAUCCUUGCUAGCUGUCUAUGUUUAUAAUGGAAUUUCAAUGAUGAGUCAGCAAUCUUCUUGUUGGCUUUGAGUGAGACAGUCUUCUUGUAUUCUGUUAAACCAGAGAUUGCCCAAUAAUGCAUUAAUAUGUUAAUUCUUUUUUAUUUUAGUGCCUACACAAUUUAAUUUUUAUGUCUCAGAAUAGUAGUGAUUUGAACUCUCGUAUAUAUCACUCAGUGAACAGACCGAAAUACAUCUGGAAUCUGGAUGGGUGCCUUGUCCUUCAAGGCAAACCUGGGUUUUCUGAGUUGUCUCAUAAUUCCUAAUCAUCUCUCACAAUCCCUGAGAGUUAAUGCAUUACAAGGAAAAGAGGAAAAGGGAAAAGGCUUAUUAUGGUUGCCACUUAGAGCCAUCCCACCAGUUGAUGGGAGUGAAUGCUGAUAUCCAUCACCUACCUGAAAAUUGAAAACCUUGGGACUAAUGGUUGUCAUAAUCUGCUCACUGAGUUUCUUUGUGAUGCUCUUGGAAACAAAGCUUAUUUAUUAUUCUACCUUUAUGACCCAUUUCCAUAUUAUUCUACCUUUAUGACCCAUUUCCAUUGUGUAAAAUUUUUUAGUUGAGUUUCAUUUGGAGAGGGAGACAAAAGCUCCUACUGCCCCCAAAAAAAAAAAAAAAAGAGAGAGAGAACAGAAAAACAGAAACUAGUGAUGAGCAGGUGCUGGGAUCUGAGAUUCCCUAUGAUUGGGCCUCAAGCAAGGAAGCAGAGUAGUGCAUUGCAAUUGAGCGGUGUUGGCCCCCAAAACAAAACAAAUCAAACCAAGCAGGAGGCAUCCAGACACAAUGAACCCACCACAACCACUCAUGUCCACAACUUUCUAUUACAUCUUCUACUUUACCACUAUCACUACUAAAUAUUUGGUGGUAGCAAAUAAAAAGAAAAGGGAAAUCAGAUAUCUGUAUAUCUGAGCUUUAGACUAAUUAGGCUUCUUUGGUGGUAGAAAUGAUUCUAAAUGUAUCACUUUCAAUCAGAUCCACAAAGUUUCCCUAAGGCCAAAAUCCAUAUCCAUGAAAUCUACUAAUCACAAUGCUAGCGUGAUUAUUUAAAUCGCAGAAUUUAGAUUAUGCAAUCAGAUCUACAACUCAACCAACCAUAAUCAGAUUCGCAAGUCUAAAAAACACACACCGCAUCAACACUGAAAGUGUAUCUCUCUAUUUCCCCAAGGCUACUGUGAACACAUCAUCCAUGAAACAAAAAUCAACUAAACAAAACCGACUGGAAAAAUCAGGGGAACACAUUAUCCAUGUUCUAAAUCCAGUCAUCCAAACAUACACCAUGAUUCGAGAAAGUGGAGAACAGAAACAUUAUAGUAGAUAAACAAAACGAGAAGAUUUUAUUUCUUACCAUGUUGCAAAUUGAAUCCUUGGGCAUGAUACUUUGUAAAUAAGAUUUCAUUGAAUCGUAGGCAUGAAAUCAAAACAUACCUUAAGAAUUGAAAUUAGCAAAUCGAAUCCUACAAAACCCUUCAAAUCAGCAGAUCCUCAUACCUUAGGGCUUAGUAUUGGGCUGAAACAAAGACAAUGGGCACUUGAGAAAAUCAAAAUAAGGAAAUGUGAAAAAUAAGCAAAGCAAAGCAAGGAGAAAGAAAGGGUCCAAGGAGAAAGGCCUGACAUUAAGAGUUUGGCUAUGGAGAGGCAUAGAGAGGGGUUUUUGGCUGAGGUUUUAAAAUGGGAUAUAUUGCAGCAGCGAGGUUCAUGCGGAUUAGAUGCAGGAGAAAGCAGCCUGUACAUGACUGCAUCCACAAGGAAACUCACUAUCCUUUUAAGCACGGUAAUGAUAGUGGUCUUCACUGUAGAUUUUUCCCGAGGAAAAUUUCCUGCUCAUGCUUGUAUAUUUAGAUGCGGGUGGAAUAUUAUUGAUCCUGUAUAUAAUCUUUAGUUGGGGACUUUUAGACCCCUACUAAAACUGUCACCAUAUCUUAUGUUUCUUGUAGUGUAUAAUUGGACUUUCAAAAUAGAGUAGCUAGGAAAAAAAAUUAAAAAUAAAAUGAAAAAAAUGAAAAUCAUUAGAAAGAAUUUGGGCCUGUUGAUAAGAAAGGCGGCUUACCAAAAGCUUGAGAUGAAUGUUUAAUAUCUUCUGCAGCAUAUCCAUUGGACAAAUUUGCAAAGAACCUCCAACCACUUGUGCAUAUAGGCGCCAUUGGAGAAUGGGCGCGGCCUGUACUUUAUGUGUCGUCACAACUUCUCUCUCUAUGCAUUAACAUUAGCACCUUCAAGUACUAAUUUGGUGCCAAAGCUUCUCUGCACAUCAAGGUACUGUGUCAUUGCUGCAUGAUUGUGUUUGACGCCUUUUAUAUUUGUAUCUCGUGGGAUGGUUCUGUUGACAGUUUUGGGCAUAUAUAAAAGAUGGAACCCACACUCUUCCACUUUCACUAGUUUACCAGCAAUGAAACCAUGCAAUGAAGCCUUCAAAAGCUUCCAUUCAUUUGACCAAUACUCAUUUUUAAUAGCAACCUUAGGAUAAUAUGCCACCCAAACUUGAUUUGAUUCACCACCAUUAUGGCAGCAGGAAUAACCGCAUUCAAACAAGAGAUCAUCCACAGGCCAACAUUUAGAUGAGGAACCACCCAUGGACCAGAAGUUAGAUGGUAGAUCAUAUACAAAUUCAAAUUGAUGACCAUGGAAAUUCAAUUCACAUUCUAAACUACAAGGAUCUUCCUCUGAUUCAAUAUGAAAAGGAACAUAAACAGAGCAUAAGGCAACUCCCAAGAAGUCGUUAUUCUAGUACCAAUCCAUAGGAGGCUCUAUUGUUAUUUCAGAUCUUUUUUUCUGUUGGCUUAUCCACUCUGGAAUUCCAUUAUUUCCUGGAAUAACAAUUUGGAUUUCCUUGAUCCAUUAUCCGCAUUCAAACUCCUGCAAGAAAUAGUGUAAAUCUUGUGUUUUCAUUAACUGACAUGAAGCAUUUGAACAAAGAAAAUUGAAAACUAUUUCGAAAUCCAAAAUUAUCCUAAAUAAUAGUAGUAAAAAUAAUAACAGUAACUAAAAUAUGUUGUUUGGUUGCUGAGAAAAACAGAGCAACUAAAGGUAUUGGAACCAACCAGUCAAGGCGUGUAAAGGGAUCCUCUUCUUGAUUCAAUUCAGCUAAAUCUCAAGCUGAUGGCUUUAAGUUGCGCUUCCGUAAGACCUUUAACCCUCACUUUUGCCAUAUGUUAUCUCUUCCUCUUUUCUUAUCAUCCCAAACCAAAUGAGCUCCUUCAAAAGGUUGUCUCCUCAGGCCAUCACAUAGAACACAAUUCUACAUAAAAGAAAAUGAAAACCGAAGUCAAGUGAUCAAUAAUGACAAGAUCAAAAACCCAAUUCAAAGAAAUUUGUGGUGCCAAUCUUCAUACAAAGGCCUUGAGGUUCUCAUCAAAGGCAAGCAAUUUGAUACUAAUUAUCAACUUCAGAUAAAACCCUCAAUUUUAAGGAUAGAGAGAGAGAGAGAGAGGUGCAGCCAAACUGUUUAAACAGAAUUGUAUACCAGGCUACAGGAAACCAAUGUGCAAAUAUUCUAAAGUAAUAAAGCAGCAUUCCAACUCACAUUGUUUUGAAUUUUAACCCGAUCGAGUGAAAACAAGAACUAGUUGUAUGCAUCCUUGUCAGAUAAAAGCUUCCAUAACACAUCGCCACUAAAACAAGAGAAUAAUAUCUGUAUACUGAAAUUUGCGAAUACUUCACCUCCUCCUAAAGCCAUUUAGAUGAGUACUAUUCAGUAUAGUGGAGUAAUAUAAACUAAGAAUUUUAACUCUUUAAAUCACUUAACCAGGCAAUAUAAACUAAGAAGAGAAAGAAAGGUGGCUUACCAAAAGUUUGAGAUAAUGUUCAGUGUCUUCUACAAAAAUCCAUUGAAAAAAUUUGUAAAGAAACUCCAACAAUUUAUGCAUAUGAUUCUCUUCAUCAUCUUGGGCGGCAUAGCUUUCCUGUCCAUCAACAUUAGCAUCUUUUGCAAUACAAAUCCAUGAGCCAGCAUUUAGAUGAGGGGAUCAUCCACUAAUCCAAAUCCAUCAUCUCAGAAAUUCACAUCACAUAGCGAAUUACAACCAUCUAUAUGAACAAAGUAAAGAAUUUAAGCUAUUUUUAGUAAAUUUGUCAUGUCAUCUUAAAGAAUAAACAAAGGUAAUUUACCUAUAAGUCAAGGCAUUCUUAUAGAAUUUGCUAAUAAUUUCAAAUACACCAUAUAUAACAACAAAAAUAGAAACGAUAUUUGAACAAAGAGUUUUUUUUCUCAAAAAAAAAAUAAAAAAUACUAUUCUCAUUUUGGUUCAUCAUUAGCAUUUUUGCUACCACUUCUAAAUUAAAAAUAAUAAAAAUAAAUAAAAGGUAAAUUAAAUUAAAAUUAUAAGCUAAUAAAAUCUACAAAAAUCAUCUUUAAAAAAUUAAAAGAAUAUCUAAAAUAAGAAAAUCUAAGACAAGUUAUUUUUAUUUUUCAUUUUAUUUUUGUUAGGUUUAAUUUUAUUUUCACUUUUGUAUGUCUAUUAUUUUUUUUAAGGAAGAUAACGUAUGUAGACUACAAAAUUAUAACUGUAUUAUUACAUUUCUAUGCGAGUAAUAAUGUGUGACCUAAAAGAUGUGAUCAGAUUACUAAAAGAUGAAAAUUGUGACCUAAGUACAAGAAUAUAAUUAGGGUACAAAAAUGUCAUUAUAAUGUCAAAAAUGUGAUUAGCAUAUACAAAAUCUGACCAAGAUUAUUAGACACAAAAAUUGUGAUUAGGGUGUGAAGAAUAUAAUUAAAGUAAAAAAAAAAAUUACAAUGAGAUGAAGAACAUGAUCAAUGAAUAAAAGAUAUGGUUAGAGUAUAAAGAAUAUGAGUAAAGUACAAAAAAUAUGGUUUAGAUAUAAAAAAUGUGAGUGAGACAUUAGACUAUGAAAAAUGUGACUAAUUAAUUUAUAAUUAGGAUCAAACUUAGACCAAAAUGAAAAAUAAAUACUAAUUCUUGAUAUAACCAACUUUGACUUACACUAUAAUUAAGAAAUUUAAAAAAUAUAUGAUAAUUUGUAAAACUUAAAUAUAAAGUUAAUUCAAAGGUUUUUUGUUCACCUUUUGUUAAUCAAUAUAUGCAUUCCAUUUUUUCCUUCUAAAUUCCGGACUUAAGACUUCUAAUAUCUAAAUAUGGUCAUUUCCUUCCAAUAACUCAUUCCAAAGAUCAGCUUUUGAGAAUUCCUAACACAUUUUCAACAAAAACAAAAAGAAUUUAGGUGUUUCAGCCCAACAAUUGGGGAUCUCAAUUUUUUUCCUGAAAUUUUGGGACAAGUAAAAGCAAACAAAUUAUAAAAUAAUAUUAAAAAAAAAACCAUGAAAGAGGGAAAAAACAAAAACGGAAUAUCAGUUUGUUUAAAUGAUUAGACAUGUAACAAUUUUAAAAAUAAAUAUUCUAACCUCUAGUAAAUUAAAAGAAAGAAGACAUACCUUACAGGAGGGUGAAGAAAAGUAUGUUGGGUUGAAAACUAGAGAUGUCUUGAUUUUUUGUUGUGUGGGUUCUCUGCAUCAUCAAGACUUCUCUUAACAUUGAAAUCUGUAUUUAAGAUGUCGGUUUUAUAUAUAAGAUGAAGCCCACACUCUUCCACUUUCGAGUGUUCACUAUGAAAUAAAGCCUUCAAAUGUAUCCAUUUAUCUGACCAAUAAUCAUUCUCAAUAGCAACCUUAGGAUAAUAUGCCACCCAAACUCUAUUUGAUUCACCACCAUUAUGGCAACAGGGAUAACCGCGUUCAAACGAGAGUUUAUCCAGGAACCGGAGUUCAUAGAAAAAACGUUCCGGAUAUUCUAAGCAAUUAUGGAAAUACAAUUCACAUGUCAAACUACAAGGAUCUUCCUUAGAUUCAAUGUGAAGUGGAACAAAAACAGCAAAUCCCAAAAAGUUGUUAUCCUCCCACCAAUUCACAGGAAGCUCUGUUUCUAUUUUAGAUCCUUUUUUCUUAUGGCUUAUCCACUCCGGAAUUCCAUUAUUUCCAGGAAUAAAAAUUGUGAUUUCCUUGCUCCAAUAGGACCGGCACUCAAACUCCUGCAAGAAAUAUUAGUGUAAAUCUUAUGUUUUCGCAAAAUAAAAAAAGAAAAAAAAAAAAAAGGUUAAAUGUCUAGAAAAUCAUACCUCAAUUGCUGAUUUGAAACAUUUGAAUAGAGAAAAACCAAGUGAACUUGAGGGACUUGAUAAAGUUUCCAAGCAAGGACAACCAUGGGCAUCAAGAAAUCGUAAACUUUGGGGAAGCGUUGGAAUUUGUACAAGCUUCUGGCAGUGACUCAAGUCGAGGGUUCUCAGUUUAGAAAGUUGAAUGAUGUUGGCAGGUAUUCUACUAAAAUGGUUCCCAUCCAGAGAUAACUUUAGCAAUGAUGACAGGUGGCAAAUAUGAUUGAGGAUCUCUCCUUCCCUUAGAUUGCAGUUACUCAGAGAUAAUUCUUCCAGUAAAGGUAAGCUCCAAACAUUCGUAAGGAUUCCUUCCUCCAUUAGAUUGCAGUUAUGAAGAGAUAAAGUUUUCAAUGAAGAAUAGUGGAAAAUAUCACUGAGGAUUCCUCGUUCCAUUGUAUUAAAGUUACCAACAGAUAGUACUUUCAGUGAUGAUGGAUGGAGACAAUCACUGAAGAUUAUGCUUUCCAUGAAUGUGGAGUUUCUUUCACAUAAUUCUACCAGUGACAACAGGGAGAAAACAUGAUGGUUAAGGACCUUUCCUUCAUUGUGUCGUUUGAAUGAGUAGAAACUCCGAUUGCCCCACCAUAUUACUCUUUGCUUUAGAAAGCAAAAAGUUAGAUCCGAAGAUCCCGAAGAUCUUGAAGAUCCCACUAGGUUCACCUCCAAUCUCUCCAGUUUUGGACAUCUUUCGACAUUAAGUGUUUCAAGAGAGCUCAAAUUGAAAAUGCUCUCCGAAAGACUCCUUAGGCUUUUGCAACUAGACAAAUCUAGGUGUUGAAGAGCCUUUAGACGUCCAAUUGAGGAUGUAAGCUCUUCUAUACUUGUUUCCCUCAAAUCAAGCCUUUUUAGAUUUUCCAUAUCAUCUUUGAUUUCUGGAAAGCGCUUUAAAUUUGAACACCCCCGCACAAUGAGAGUUUCAAGAGAGCUCAAAUUGCAAAUGCUCUCCGAAAGACUCCUUAGGCUUUUGCAACCAGACAAAUCUAGGUGUUGAAGAGCCUUUAGACGUCCAAUUGAGGAUGUAAGCUCUUCUAUACCUGUUUCCCUCAAAUCAAGCAUUUUUAGAUUUUCCAUAUCAUCUUUGAUUUGUGGAAAGCGCUUUAAAUUUGAACACCCCCGCACAAUGAGAGUUUCAAGAGAGCUCAAAUUGCAAAUGCUCUCCGAAAGACUCCUUAGGCUUUUGCAACCAGACAAAUCUAGGCGUUGAAGAGCCUUUAGACGUCCAAUUGAGGAUGUAAGCUCUUCUAUACCUGUUUCCCUCAAAUCAAGCAUUUUUAGAUUUUCCAUAUCAUCUUUGAUUUCUGGAAAGCGCUUUAAAUUUGAACACCCCCGCACAAUGAGAGUUUCAAGAGAGCUCAAAUUGAAAAUGCUCUCCGAAAGACUCCUUAGGUUUUUGCAACUAGACAAAUCUAGGUGUUGAAGAGCCUUUUGACGUCCAAUUAAGGAUGGAAGCUCUUCUAUACUUGUUUCCCUAAAAUCAAGCCUUUUUAGAUUUUCCAUAUCAUCUUUGAUUUCUGGAAAGUGCUUUAAAUUUGAACACCCCUGCACAAUGAGAGUUUCAAGAAAGCUCAAAUUGCAAAUGCUCUCCGAAAGACUCCUUAGGCUUUUGCAACCAGACAAAUCUAGGUGUUGAAGAGCCUUUAGACGUCCAACUGAGAAUGGAAGCUCUUCUAUAUCUGUUUCCCUCAAAUCAAGCCUUUUUAGAUUUUCCAUAUCAUCUUUGAUUUCUGGAAAGCCCUUUAAAUUUGAACACCCCUGCACAAUGAGAGUUUCAAGAGAGCUCAAAUUGUCAAUGCUCUCUGAAAGACUCCUUAGGCUUUUGCAACCAGACAAAUCUAGGUGUUGAAGAGCCUUUAGACGUCCAACUGAGAAUGGAAGCUCUUCUAUAUCUAUUUCCCCCAAAUCAAGCCUUUUUAGAUUUUCCAUAUCAUCUUUGAUUUCUGGAAAGCGCUUUAAAUUUGAACACUCCCGCACAAUGAGAGUUUCAAGAGAGCUCAAAUUGAAAAUGUUCUCCGAAAGACUCCUUAGGUUUUUGCAAUAAGACAAAUCUAAGUGUUGAAGAGCCUUUAGACGCCCAAUUGAGGAUGGAAGCUCUUCUAUAUCUGUUGCCCUCAAAUAAAGCCUUUUUAGAUUUUCCGUAUCAUCUUUGAUUUCUGGAAAGCCCUUUAAAUUGUAACAGGCAUCCAAGAUGAGAGUUUUAAGAGAGCUCAAAUUGCAAAUGCUCUUCGGAAGAUUCGCAAGGUUUUCGCAAAAUGACAAAUCUAGGUAUUGAAGAGCCUUUAGACGUCCAAUUGAGGAUGGAAGCUUUUUUAUACCUGUUUCGCCCAAAUCAAGCUUUUUUAGAUUUUCCAUAUCAUCUUUGAUUUCUGGAAAGCACUUUAAAUUUGAACACUCCUGCACAAUGAGAGUUUCAAGAGAACUCAAAUUGCAAAUGCUCUUCGGAAGAUUCGCAAGGUUGCGCAAUAUGACAAAUCUAGGUGUUGAAGGGCCUUUAGACGUCCAAUUGAGGAUGGAAGCUCUUUUAUACCUGUUUCCCUCAAAUCAAUCACUCUUAGCUUACUCAUAUUUCCUUUGAUUGCAUGAAAGUUUCUUGGAAGACUCUCGAGGUUGCUGCAUCCUGUCAUAUUCAAGAAAACAAUUAGUUACUCACUUUAAUAAUCAUAGUAGUAAAUAAACCUUUAUAGUAACUUUAUACAACCUUUUAGAAUUAGGAUCUCCAAAUUUGGCAUACUUGAAAAGUCUGAAAUUUUAACAAGAUCGCUUGAGUAACUGAGGUUGAUGACUUUCAAGUUGUCAAGAAUUUGGAACAAAAUAAAAAGCCUUAGUAGAUAAUUUAUUUAUAAAUUUUAAAAUUAUUAUAAAAAUUAUUAAUGAAACAACAAUUAUAAUAAUACCUCAUUCCCUUGCCAAAGUUGUUUUAUGCUGCUAUGCUUUAAAUUAAGUUCAACAAGAUUCUUUGCAUGAAAAUUUGUUGGCAAGGAUUCGAAUGGGUAUCCCUUAAAAUGGAAAUAUCUUAACUCAAAAUAAGGAAAAUCAAGAUUCUGGAGGUCCUUGGGGAAGAUCUUCUCAAAAUCUAUCAUCCAAAACCUUGAAGAAUAGACUUUUAGCAAUCUAAGUCUAUUCAUUUUUGUGAAAGAAUUUGUAGAUAUCUGACUUGCGAGAGAAAGUGGUACAAAUAUUCCUUCAAUUGCUCGAGUCCCCUAAAAAAUAAAAGCCAAGAAUAAGUCAAGCACAAGAUGUAUGAAAAUCAAUUAAGUUAUAUAGAUAUAUUAUUUCUUAAACAAAAUACAUUUGGCUCUUACCAUAUUUCUUGUUAACACACUAACAACAUCAUCAGGAUCCCAGAGUCUACUCCUGUUUCCAGGCUCUUUAAGACAUUCUUGAUGAACAAUUUCUUGACCCAUUUGUUGUACUAAAUCAUGCAUAUCUAACUUGUUUUUUUGAAAUAGUAAGAAGGCAUCUAUCAUUCAGAACUUUUAUUCCCAUCAUUGCAUAACUUCCUAAUAUCCUUGAAACAAAAUCUUUGUCUUUUCCUCUGAAAAAACAUGCAAUAUCCAAGAAUAUCUGUUGACAUGUAUAAUCCAAUUUAUCAUAACUUACUUUAAGCACACUUUGGACUUCCCCGUCAGGUAUUUUUUUUAGUUUAUGCAAUUCACUUUCCCAUUCAUUUUUUGACUUCUCACGGAGAAAGCCACCCAAAACUUUAAGUGCUAUUGGAAGGCCAUGAGUAUACUCCACUACACUAUUUGAAAGGCUUUCAAAUCCAAUUUUGGGAGUAUUUUGCUCGAAGGCCCACAAAUUAAAAAGUUCAACAGAUUUUUCAUGAUUCAACUUUUGCACCUCAUAAAGUGCUUUUACUCCAUGUUGAUCUAACAAAUGUUUAUCUUUAGUUGUUAUGAUGAUUAUACUUUUUGCACCAUACCAACCAUGUUUUCCGGCCAAUUUUUCUAAUUGCAUGUAGUUGUCCACAUCAUCAAGAACAAUAAGGACUCUUUUCAAUCGAAGCCUUUCCUUUAUCACAUUGAUUCCUUGGCUACUAUUGUUGAAUUUUGGCGCUUUACACUUUAAGAUAUCUUGAAGAAGUGUCUUUUGUAAUUUAAGUAGACCAUCUUCACAUUUCCCCCCAACAUUUCCAAGAAAGCUACUACCAUCAAAUUGAGAUGAGAUAUCAUUAUAAAUAGCCUUAGAGAUGGUAGUUUUGCCAAUUCCACCAAUCCCAUAGAUACCAACCAUGAGAACCUCAUCCAACUCAACUUUUAUAAGUGAUUUUAACACCUUCAAAUGAAAGUCCAUUCCAACUAUGUUGCAGCCCAUAUCUAAAGGCGUACGAUUCAAUCUUAUAACGAUAUCUUCAAAAAUCCCUUGAAUAAACUCUGCCUCAGAUCUAUUAAUCAUAAAGUAAGUGGUAUUAGAAUAUGUCACAAAUAUAAUCAAUAUGAAAGAAACUUGAACAAUAGAAUGUAAUAGAAAAAAACUUGAACAAUAUUGAUUAAUUUAAUAUAAUCAAUAUUGAAUUACUUAUUUAAGUACAUUCUAAUUAUUCCUAGCUAUUAAUUCAAGUAAGAAAAAAGUGAAAAAUGUGAACUUUAGUUGCUUACUUAGUUGAAAGGUUCAAAUUGAAGUCGACUAGUAUAGAACAUUAUUUGACUUCAUGAUAAGGGAUGCUAUAAUCAUAACACAAGCACAUGUCAAGCUUCAAGAUAGCUUCCAAUUUGGCAUCCAAGUUCCAUAAUCUAGUAAUACCUUUCUUGAUUAAAGAGAAUUGUUACUCCACUAUGCUCUCACAUAACUUUCUUUCACCCUUUAUUUAGUAAAAAAAGAUCUUUAAAUUCCUCAUUCACUUGUUUCUAUGUUUUAUCAACUUACCAUUAUUUUAAUGAUUUGUUUGUUGAUUAAAAACCUUGAAUUUAAUUGAAGAAGAUUUGAAAUACUUCUUAAAGAAAAUUAAUAAAGAGAAUAGAGUUUCGUUUUUGUUAGUGCAUGCUUUCAUAUUCACAAUGCUUUCAUUAUGAGAAUAAAGUUGGUAAAUUAAGUAAAUAUAUAUAGUAAGAGUUUUUAGGGAUUGAGCAUAGGGCUAACUAACCAAACGGUCAAUGGAAUAGACUUUUUAUAUAAAAAAAAAAGUAAAGAAUAAUAAAUAAAUAAUGUAUCAUUAAAUCACAAUACAGGUUAUCCAAUAAUAAUAUCAUACUAAAAAUAUGAUCAUUAUAGGGUAGCAAUUUUGGAUGAACAAGUCUUUGAACAAUUUAUGUACAAAUACUAAGAAAAUUGAGACUCUAAAUAAUAAUAAUAAGGAAGGUGCAUGAGAAUCUUUGUAGUGAGUGAGCAUGGAAUUCAUUGGCAAUACAAUCACAAAUGUCUUUGCAAUAUAGAAUGGUUAAACAUUAUACUGGGCUUGUGUCUAUAAAUUCUAGAUCUCUAAAGAGACGUGACCAUUCAAGGUGUCAUAAGAUAAUUGUAAUAGAGGUGAUAGAGACUACAAAUAAGAUGUAGGGAUCCCAAAGAGAUGAGAAAAUCCUUCAUGCAAGCAACCUGUAAACUACACUUUUGAGCUAGCAUUAAAAAUGGUUCAAAGUUUAGACAUGUCAUUUACACUUUCACUCUUUAAAAUAAAUAUCUUACUAAAAGUGUUCAUUAAAUUAAACUACAAUAUUCAGCACUUAAAAAGCUUUAAAUUUUGAAUAUAUUAGAGUGAAGAUGAUGAUGAUGAUAGUGAUGAUAAUGAUGAUAAUAAUCAUAAUAACAAUAACAAAGUCAUCAUAUUAGUAGUAUUGAUAGUAUUUGUAUUAUAAACCGUAGUAGUAGUAAUAAUAAUAAUCACAUGAAAUUAGAACAAAAAAAUACGAAAAGAAUGAAAUAGAAAAGUGAAAUGGAAGAAAAUAAAUAAAUAAAUAAAUGAAGCCAUUUGGACUCUUUUUUAUUGAUCAAAUAUUAGUCAAAUAUUUAGUAGUAAUUUUCUUGUAGAAAAAGAAAAAUAUAAAAAAAAACAUAAAAUAACAAAAUUAAAAUGGAAGCAAAAGAUAAAAUAAAAAAUAAAAAAAUAAAUGAAGCUAUUUGGACUUUUUUUAUUGAUCAAAUAUUAGUCAAAUAUUUAGUAGUAAUUUUUCCUCCAACCCUAGGUCCUUAUACAAUUAAAUUAUUUAUCUCAACUAUUUAUUAAUAAAAUAAAAGAAUGAUUUACUUGUAGGUCUCACCAUGAAAUCCAAGGUCAUGCUACCUUAUGUACAUGUGAAAAAAAAUGAUAAAAAAAGGGUUGAAAAUCGUAAAACCACAAGAAUUAAAUUAAUAUAAGUGCAUUUUUCAGGCUUUAUACAUUUUUUUUAUUUUAUUAAACUUAAAAUGAUGAAGUUUAUAUAUAUGAAAUCAUGGUGGGUAAAAUACUAAAUGUUAGAUAUUGAUAAAAUCUCAUAGUUCAGCUUUUUUCUUUUUUUAAAUACUUUGAAUAAAAAACUUCUCCAUCUUGCAUAAAAUAAAUUGGUCAUAUCAUGGUUUUAAAAACCGGACCGGACCGGCCGGUCCGACCGGUCGAACCGUCGACCGGUGAACUUUUCCAAAUCCCUAGACCUUAUGUAAAGAUAAAAUUAACAAUUUAGAUGGGCCAUGCCCACAGAAGCCCAAUUUGCUGCCAUUUAUUAUUUUAAAAUAACACUUCAACUUGGGCCAUGCUUCCGAGCCAUGCUUCCAGGCCCAGCUUGCUGGCUUGUUUGGACUUGAAGGCAAGUGGGAAGCUAUUUAUAGAGCACAUGGAGCACAUAAAAUUCAUGUGCUUCCGAUGUGGGAUUGGGAAUGAGACUCAUUAGAAGAAAACAUUGCCUCUUGAGGGUUGGACGUACGGAAUUUGAUUUUAUUUCAAAUUUUUAUCAUAUAAAAUCUUUAAAAAAAAUGUAAAUAUUUAAAUUCAUGUUUAUUUUUAUAAUAAUAAUAAUAUAAUAAUUAUAAAAAAUAAUAUAAAUUAAUUAAUAUAAUAAUUUUAAAACAAUAAAAUACAAAGACAAAAAGAUAAAAUUAAAUAUUAUAAAUUUUUUUAUCUUAAAUAUAUAUUCUUUCUUAAAUAUUACAUAUUUCUAUUUAAUCAAAUUUAAAAUAUUAAACUUUAUCAUUUAAUUUAAUUUAAUAUACCAAAUAUAAAAAUCAAACAUUAUUAAAAUUUGUAAUUUUAUAUAUUUUUAAUUUUUAUAAUUAUUUUAAAUUUUAUAUAAUAUAUAAAUUAUAUAUUUAAUUAUUUAUUACAUCACCGGUUCAAUAGCGGUUCGACCGCCGGUCCGACCAGUGAACCGUGAACCAGUAACUUUUCCGGUUCGACCACCGAUCUGGUUUUUAAAACAUUGGGUCAUAUAAACAAAUAGAAAGAAAAAGCAGGAGGGUAAUAUAUCUAAUAUUAAGUAGAUUCAAUUCAAUAAUGGACCGGUAAAGCCUCAGUCCAAUCUUAAACUUAGGCCAGUUUAGAAUUUCUCAACCAAUUCAUCUAUUUUGUUUAAAAUUUGAUAGUGAUAGAAUGAAGUAAGUUUCCAGAUAGGUUUGAAGAAAGAAAUAAAAUGAUUAAAGUAGGAUAAAAUUUAUCCAGUAGAGGUGAAAAGAAAUAUAGUUACUGAUUUUGCAGAUGAUAUCCAGAUAGGUUGGCUGCUGUCUUCAAGGCAUUCUUCCACGUUUCUAUUGUCUUCUUCUUCUCUUGAUCUGCAUCUUUUGCAUGCUCCAAAAAUGCAUCUUCAAAACUUCCUCCUUGAUUUCGUACAUCUGUUGGCUCCACAUGGUAGAAAACCGGCACAACCACAGAUCCCUUUUCUUUCUUACAGUCCAUGAUCUUUGCGAGUUCAUUCAAACACCACUUGGAGUCAGCAUAGCGUUUUGAGAAAAUAAUAAUAAAAAUCUUUGAUUCUUCGAUAGCUCUCGAGAGAUCUGAUGCGAUAUCUCCUCCUUUCUCAAGUUCUUCAUCAUCUCUGAAGGUGUGAAUUCCACGUGCAACCAACUUAGCAUAAAGAUGACCAGUGAAAGUCUGGCGGGUGUCUUCACCUCUAAAACUCAAGAACACAUGAUAAUUAUAACCAUCACAAUUAGAAGUGGAAGACGACGCUUUCAAGGAGCUGCUAGAAGCCAUUUCUGGACUGGAUCUGGCAAAGUUACAAGGAGGCUAAGAACGAAAAGAAAGGGUCUUUGGUUGCAAAUGACUGUUCUUCUCCUCUGGCAAGCAAUUUUCCUUUUUAU